Molecule: long non-coding RNA, 52485 nt
Filed under: Manihot esculenta (cassava)
Lineage: Eukaryota; Viridiplantae; Streptophyta; Magnoliopsida; Malpighiales; Euphorbiaceae
Description: long non-coding RNA (MESC_LNC008518)
Source: RNAcentral
GAGCCAGCUCGCGAGCCUAAAAACGAGCCAGCUCGCGAGCCUUAACGAGCCGAAUACUAUGGAGCUCAAGCUCAGCUCGUUUAAGUGACGAGCCUCAAAAUUGAGCUCGAGCUUGGCUCGUUUAAAAAACGAGCCGAACUCGGUCGAGCUUUUAUCGAGUCGAGUCUCGAGUAGCUCACGAAUAGCUUGGCUCAUUUACAGCCCUAUGUGGGAGUUUUGGUGGCUUGGGGCAUAAUGGCAGAAUCGGGUUCUGCCACCCAGGAGGGCCCAAGUUCGGCAGCCGAAGCAAGGUUCGGCCGCCGAACUUGCCAGAGGAGGCAGUUUUGGCCGCCUAAACUCGCCCCCGAAAGUUGGACUUUCGGAUCUGGAGGGGAGUUUCGGCUGUCGAACCUGCCCCCGAAGGUUAGUGACUUUCGGGUCUGUGAAGGCUUUCGGUCGCCGAACCUACCCCUGAAAGUGCCUGACUUUCGGAUCUGUAGGGACCUUCGGCCGUCGAACCUGUCGCCGAAAGUCCCCUGCCCAGCCUUCCUUUGCCUGUUUUCUAUGCAUGUUUUAUGAUGUUUUAGGGGGUUUUUGGGGAGAUGUUUAGAGUCUUGCUAGAGUUAUGUUUGGUCCCUCAUUUGAGUCCACCUGUGUAGGAUCGGACCUGAGGAACCGAGAUGAUCAGUAGUGAGUUAGCUAUUCCAGAGUCAGCUAGAGGUGAGUAGAACAUAACUUCUUUUAUUUUCAAAGCAAUCAAACUUUUAAGCAUGUUCAUGCAUCAUGAUAUGUAAUAGGUUGUUUGCAUUAGAAUUCACGAAUAUGAUGCAUUGCAUUAUAUAUUAUUGAUGUGGAUGGAUUUUGGAUGACCCACUAGCCCUCGAUAUGAUAUGAUAUGAUAUGGUAUGGAAGUCCAGGGCUUGCCCAUUCUACACCCCUGGCACGAUGUAAUGGAAGUCCAGGGCUUGCCCAUUCUAGCCCCUAGCACGAUGUAAGGGAAAGACCAGGGCUUGCCCAUUCUACGCCCCUGGCAUAGUUGGACAUGUUAUGUUAUUUUUAAGAGAAAGUCCUGAGGAGCUCCGUCGAGGGCCGGGCACAUUGGAUAUGUAGAGGGUUACUGGUGACAAGUCCAUCCUUGAUGUGAAUUGUAUGUGUUGUGAUGCAUUUCAUGCGAGCAUAUGUUAUAUAAACUGUUUUUAUGGUUCUGCUCACUGGGCUUUAGUAGCUCACCCCUUUCCCCUAACCCCCAGGUUUGCAGGUUAGAGAUAGCACAGGAAGUCACCAAGGUUGAUGGUAUAUGCUAUGUAAUAUAUUAGUAGUGGACAUGUAAUGUAUUGUGGAUGGUAUUGUGCUUGGCCCUAUUGAUAGAUUGUAAUCCCUUUUGUACAUGAUCUUUAUGUAAAUGUUUUUAAUGAUGAGAUGGGUUGAACAAAGCUUGAUGUAUGAGAUGUUGACCCUACUAGAGCAUUUGAUGAGGGCUCUAGUAUGGGGUUUUUAUGUUUAUAGUUAUGAUGCAUGCACAAGUCAAGAUUGGUAUAUGAAAAGUUUAAGUUUUUACGAAAAUGUAUGAUCAUGUAUGGGAUUUCAUCAGGUAUAACAGGAUGUAUGUUAGGCUUGCUACGGGUUCCGGCGACCUUAAGUCGAUCUGAAUCCUAGCGCCGGUAGCGGUUCGGUUUCCGGGUCGUUACAAGUUCCUUUCCAAUUCUUAAAGUGAUGGCACUUACAUUCUAUAUGGGAUUAGUUUCUGUUUGAGAAGGGAGCUUACCUUGGGAUUCAAUCUUGCUCAUGGAUGUGGCCAUCUGUCCCAUCUGUUGUUGGAGAGUCUGUACAGAGUUUGCCAGUGUCUCCAUCAUCUUUUCAAGGUGCUGGAUGGAAUUUGGAGGUGCUGGUUGGGCUUGAUUUCUUUGAUAGUUCUGAUAGUUCUGGUUGUUGUUAGCCCUUCCAUAGCUGAAAUUGGGGUGGUCUCUCCAACCUGGAUUGUAGGUGUUAGAAUAUGGAUCAUGUCUUGCCUGACUGUUGUAUCCUCCAAUGGCAUUCACUUGCUGGCUAUCUUCUUGGAGAGUAGGACAUUGAUCAGCUGGGUGUCCUAUAUAUGCACAAAUCCCACAUGGCCUAGGUGGCUGGGAUGCUUGAGCCUGUUGAGCUUGUCCUAUGGCAAAAUUUUUCAUAAAAGAGGUCAAUUCAGAAAGCUGAGAAGAAAUAGUGGAUGUACUUACCUCAUUGACUCCUCUCUGCAGUUGCUUUUCUUCUCCAUAUUGCGUAGAUGAGGCUAUAAGGGUAGAGAUCAACUCUCUCAUCUCCCUAGGCGUUUUGUUUGCAAUGAAAUCUCCACAUGCUACAUCAAUGAAUCUUCUUUCUAAUGAUAGCAAACCUCCAUAGAAGAAUUCUAUGAGUGCCUUAUCUGAAAUAUCAUAUUGAGGACAACCUGUACACAAUCUUUUAAACCUUUUCCAAUAAUCAUACAAAUCCUCGGAUGGUUUCUGUCUAAUGCUACUGAUUUCUCUUCUUAUGCCAAUGGCUUUAGAAGUUGGGAAGUAUUUGUUCAAAAAGGUUAUUACCAUAUCAUUCCAAGAAGUGAUAAAUCUAGGUGGUAAAUAAAAUAACUAAUCCUUAGCAUAAUCAUCAAGUGAAAAAGGAAAAGCUCUCAACUUAACAUGAUCUUCAGAAAUACCUUGAGGUCUCAUAGAUGAAUAGACAAUGUUGAACUCUUUCAAGUGCUUGUGUGGAUUUUCAUUUUCUAAACCUCUAAAUUUAGGAAGGAGAUGAAUCAAACCUGUUUUGAGUUCAAAGGGAACUGUCAGAGGUGGAUAGGUGAUGCAAAAAGGUGUUUGAUCACCGAUAGGUACUGCCAACUCUCUCAUGGUUCUUUCUUUUGGCAUUGGGGCCCUCAUGGCUAGAUUUUCUUGUAUUAUUUCAUCAUGGACAGCAUGUCCAGCAUGGGCAGCAGGUUGUGCCACGUUUUCAGCCAUCUCUAGAGUUGGAUGGUGUGGUUCAGUGGUUUCAGAAGGUUGUUCUGCGCAGGGGACUCGUUCAGGUGCGAUUUCGGCUUCAGCUGUCUCCCAAAGCCGCGAUGCUUUUUUACCUAGUCUCCUAAUGGUGCGCUCAAUUUCUGGAUCAUAAGGCAGCGUCUCCUUAUGUCCAGAUCUGGUCAUGAAAGAAAAACAAACAAGUUAGAUCAAUUUCCCGGCAACGGCGCCAAUUUUUGACUCACAGUUGUCGAAGCCGGUCAAAAAUAACUUUUUCAGUUAUCAAUAAUAUUACUACUGUAGAUAGUGGUAAAGGAUCGAAUCCAUAAGGAAUUGAAAACUUACCUAUUCUUCUUAUCAAGACCAAGGAAAUUAACUGAAAGCAAAUAGACUGAAAGCAAGAUAAACGGAAAGCAAAAUAAAAAUAAAGUGCAAGUAAAGUAAAAAAAGGUGGGGUUUGAGAUUGAUUCAGUUAAUCUAAUGAUGAAAGCAAUAAAACAAGGUGAAUAAUAAAAAUAAAGGGAAAUCAAUAAUAAGAAAGCUCUAGUUGAAGAAUUGGAUCCACUUCAGUUGUUGGGAUUGAUCAUUGAAACUUAUGUUCUUUUGAUUGAUUCAAUAGAUUAGUUAUGGAGAUGGAAAACGCUUCUCACCACCAUGUCUCUCUUUAAUCAUAAACCAAUUAGGGAACGUCCUCUAAUUAAUUACUAAUCAACAAGUUGCCAAGGAAUGUCUUUGGGCUUUAGGCAUCAAAACAAUUGUCAAUUGCAUUAAGAGAUAGAGAGAUCCAAUCCUAGCUACCCAAACGCAUGAGAUAUUGCUAGAUUAUACAAUUUCUUUAGUUUUUACACCAAGCAUUCUUAUGUUUGAACAAUCCAAGCAAUUGCAGACUUAAAACUAUUCAAACUAACAGUAUAUUAUCUUGCAAUCAAGAAUCAAGUGACCACAUUAAUCAAAAUAACAAAGCAAUAAUGGAAUCAAGCAUGAAAUUGUAUGAAUAUUGAAUAAACCAAAGACAAACAAUGUAUGUUCAGAUCUCACAAUCCAUAAAACAACUUAAGUUUCAACCAAUCUUCAACUAGAAUAAAAGGUUUCAGCCACUCAUGGCUGAAACAAAACCAAAAAUAAAGAAGAAAGGUAGAAGGAGAAGAGUGGCCGAAGCCCUUGGAGAAGAUGGAGGUGUGCCUUGCGCAAACUGAAGAGAAGAAGAUUGUGGCCAGCUGGUUUAGGGAUCCUUAUUUAGGAUUUAUGUGCUGCCCUAGGUAAUACUUGCUGCCCAAGUACUUAAGUUGCUGCCCAAGAGGCUGCCCAUGCAAGCCUUGCCGCCCAAGUAGUGUUUGAAAGGGAGAGGCGCACGGCUUGUGCUUCAGAAGGCAAGAGGUGUGCGGCUAGGGCUUCAGAAGUGGGGAGUAUGCUGUCCAAACUUUCCUUUUUAGGUGGAGCCUUCUUUUGAAUUUCAAAUUUUGAACCUUGAACGCAAAAGAGGCAAGUGCGUCUUCUUGAGGUUUUGCUUCCUGAAUAGGCAGAACUGACUACUGAGGUGUCUUCACAUUCUGAACAAGGAAAAAGGAUUUGCAAUUUGAAUUUCAAAUGAUCUGCUGACUGUGCUUUCCUUAUCUGCCUCUUUCGUUAUUUGACACUUUCCAUAUUUGAAAGCUUUCCAUAUUUGAAAACUUUCCUUAUUUGGCAGUUUCCAUAUUUGGCACUUUUGGGCAGUUUUAAGAGCAUUUUCACCAGAUUGUCUCUCUACACCUAUCUUUUGUAAAAUAAGAUCAAAACCACAAAAUUAGGCAGAAAAUGUGUAAAUAAACAUCAAUAAUAUCAUGAUAAAAUGGUAUAAAUUAUGCUCUAUCAAGUUGUAUCCUCACUGCUGCUCUCAAUGAAAGACUCCAAAAUCAGAGUAGUAGUCUUUAGUUGCUCUUUGCUUUUCUUUAAUUGCUCUAGAAUCUCUGGCUUUACUUCCCAUUCCUCUUCUGGUUUAGUUUGCAUGCGGGCAUCUGGGCUUUCUUUUUUGCUUGUGAAUGAAUAGCUCGUCUUGUCGCGAUCGGAGAAGGCGCCAUUAUUAGUGCGACGAAUUCUAGUCGCGAUGCCAUGUUUGGCAUUGCUUUCUCCUUCUUAGCUGUCAGUUUUGGUACCGACGGUGUUUGAUAGCAGUUGUCGAAACCGUAAAAAAUAAACCUAUUAGUAAUCAACAAUUAAGAAUUGCAGAUAGUGGCAAUCGGAUCGAAUCCAUAAGAAUUUGACACUAAGGACUUUCCUAACAAUAACUUGGGCAAAUUAAUUAAAGUAAAAUAAAAGGGGUGGUUUUUUAUGAUGAUGAAUUAGGAUUAAAACUAAAGUAGUAAAAGAAAGCAAUGAGUAAAAGAUGAGUAAAUCAAUGAUAAAAAGACUCUAGUUGAAGCAUAGGAUCCAUCUUAGUUUGGAAAUUGAUCAUUGAUACCUUAAUUCUUCUAUUUGUUUCAAUAAAUUAGUUUAGGUCAUGGAAGAUGCUCCACACAACUAAAUUUCUCCUUAGGUUUAGUUUGAUUAGGAAAUGUUCGCUAAUCAAACACUAGUUAACAAGUCGCCAAUGAACGUCCUUGGGGGUUUUUACUUUUCAAUAGUUAUCUGCUUUAAGAAAUAGAGAAACCUAAUUCUAACUUAGCCAAUCGUAUGGUUUAGUUAGAUCAUGCAACCUCUUAGUUAUUACAUUAAGUAUUACUUGUAUUUGAACAAUCUAAGCAAUUACGGACUUAAAAUAUUCAAAUUAACAAUUUAUUACUUUGCGAUUAAAAGUAAUGGGCCCUAUUGAUUCUAACAGCAAGGCAAUAAUAAUAUGAAGAAUAAAGUUGCAUAAAUACUGAAAAAUAGAAGUUUGACAAUGGAGUUUCAGAUCUCCCAAUUCAUAACAAAAUUAAAAUAUCUCCAACUCCAACUAGAAGAAAAGGUGUUUAGCCAUUCAUGGUGAGCAAAAAAUACAUAAAAAGAAAGAAAGAAGAAAAGAAGUGGGACUCAGUGCUGCUGAAGCUCUGUGAAUUGGUGAUGAUUGCUGCUACUGGUUGUUGCCUUUUUAUAGAUGUGAAAACCCUAUAUCAGUCCUUGAUGAGAUGGAAUCCCUUUUUGACUUGGUCUUUGAUUUCUUCCUUGCUUGUAUUUCUUCAUAAUUAGACGUUCUUGGGUGAAGAAAUUCUUUUUGCACAGUGUUGGAUGUAUUUUAGAUGAGUUUUGGCGUGUUUGAGAUGGAAGAGGACCCUUGAAAUUUGAACUCUGGUGUUUUCCGCCUUUCUGCACUCUUCUGUCCUGUGGUGAUUGAUUUGCCCGGUGAUUUGGGCAAAUCAUUUGCCCUUAUCGCGAGUCUGUACUGUUUCUUCUCUUCUCUGUUCUGUAACAGUUGAUUUGCCUGAUGAUUUGGACAAAUCGCUUUUGGCAAAUCAAGUUCUUGGAUUUUAGCAUUUUGCUCCCAUCUACUUGUACAGCAUGGCCAUUCUUGGGGGUGAUUUGCCCAAAUUGCUUCGGCCAAAUCACUCUUCAUGCAUUUAAGGCCAUUUUUCACCGAUUCUUCGUUUUUCAUCUUUUUCUGCAAAAUAUUAUAAAAAUACAAAAUUAGCUAGAAAAAUGUAUAAUUUAGCAUUAAUAAUAAUAGUAAAAAUGUGGCUAAAUUAUGUAUGAUCAAAUACCCCCACACCUAACUUUUUGCUUGUCCUCAAGCAACAAUCAACUUGGUCAAUCAAGCCCCCCUUCUUUGAUCCUAUUCACCACUUAACGACUCCUAAUUUGAAGCAUCGCAGUGUAAAGUACAUGCACUAAAGUUACUACUUUCCUUGUUUCCCCUCACCUACCAUGGUCAAGAGUUGCCUUCCUCAAGAGAGAGAAAGUUUUACUUGUUCAUGCACAAAUUUUAGAUUUUAGUUUGACUUAUGCAACCUCGGGAAUGACUUGCCCUUCUUUUAAGUACUUUAUUCAACUUUGUGCACUUUUAUUCUUGCUUGAAAAAGUCACCAACCUUUUUACGCGAAGGUGCAUAUUUGUGAUACCCACCCCCCGGUUACUCAGUUGGUCACCUGUUCAAGUGGCUACUAGCUCUAUUCAUAGUUUUUGACCAUUGGAAUAGGUUUUUGGAUUUGUGCCUUUUAACUUUGCGGAUUUUUUCUCUACUUUUCACAAUGAUUUGGGCAAUCAAAAUACCGAAUGCUGCAUUAGCCUUUUUCAUUACAUACAUAUUCAGUUUUUAUUAUUCUUUCUUGACCACAACAAGUUUAAAGAUUCAAUUCAAAAAGAAACCCCAAAAGUGAAUGCAACUUACUGCAAAUGAUUCGAUUCAGAUUUAAAGAGUUGGUAAAUCAAUGGUGUCAUGAGCAAGGACACUCAUUUAACCUUGCUAUCUAUGCUGAGUAUAGUAAAAAAUAAAAAAAAAUUUUGUGCAUAUGUGUAAUUUCAAAAGAACAAAUAUGUGUGAAGAAGUAUAAACAUGCAAAUAUGCAUGAAAAGUGAAAACAUGCAUAAAAACUAAAAUUGUAUACAAAAAUCAGUGCCACAGUACCCCCACACCUAGUCCUAGCCAUUGUCCUUAAUGCAAAAUAUUGAAAUAGAAAGAAAAGGGACUUCUUGGGGUGUGUGAUUUGGCCAAAUCUAUGGCUAAAUCACGAGUGAUGGUGGUCUCUGGGCAGUAGGUGAUUCACCAGUAGCUGCAACAGUCCCUCCAUGUUCAAGAUUCUUUCUUCAAUUCGGUCCAGGCGAGCCUCUACUGAAGGGUUCUGUGGCGCACCAGCAGGUGCUUCCUCUGCUGCUAUAAGUGGGACUGGUGGUUGUGAAGCUGCCUCUUGACUGACAUCAUUUUUCCUGAAGAAACGCUCGUGGCGUGGUAUCAAUAGACCUGUAGGUGCAAGAGAAAAAGCACCCCCAACCUUACGAAGCAAUUCCAUAUCAUCCAAGGCACGCAGAUCCAAGAGGUUUGGCUCGCCGGUUAGGGUAAGGUUAGUAUGUUCAGGGUGUGAUAUUUUUAAAUUCACUGCAAGUAAGGUAAUAACAUGCCCAAGAAUCAAAGGGCGAUGGUAAGUAAGUGUGCCAGAAAUCUAAGUGGCAACCCAGAAUCCAAAAUUAAUUUUCUGCUUAGUGACCAUACUCCAAAGAAUGUAUAGUUCAGUUUUAGUCAGUGAUAGAGCAUAUUUUAGUCCACUUUCUCAUUAUGUUCUUGAUGUUUGUUUACAUCAUUUCUGCCUAAUUUUGUGGUCUUAAUCAUAUUUUGCAGAUAUUAGGUGUAAAGAGACAAUCUAGAGAAAAUGCUCUUAAAACUGCCAAAAAGUGCCAAAUAUGAAAAGUGCCAAAAAAGGAAAGUUUUCAAAUAAGGAAAAUUUUCAGAAAAGGAAAGUUUUUAAAUAGGGAAAGUGCAGAAGCAAAAGCAAAUAAGGAAAGCUCAGUCAGAAGAUUAUUUGAAAUUCAAAUCGCAGAUCUUUCUUUCCUUAUUCAAAGAUGUGCACACACUGCAGCAGUCAAAUCUUCCUAUUUAGGCAGCAAGAUUUCAAGGAGAUGCACUUGCCUCUUCUUCAUUCAGCAUUCAAAAUUCAAACGAAGGCUCCACCUAAAAAGGAAAGAUAAGACAGAUUCACUUUCCCUUCUGCAUUCAAUGACCACGCGCCACCUGCCUUCUGCAAAGCAAGAUGCGCGCCUUCCUCUUCUGAAUCCUUAGUGCGCGCCUCCUUCCUUCUGGAGAAUUUGCAACGCGAUUCUUUUCUUUUCAGCACUUUGAGCAGCCUCUUCACUAAUUAGGAAGCAAAUAUGACCUAGGGCAGCACUUUCAAUUAUAAAAAGACACAUAAGGAGUCUCCACACAACCUUUACACACCACCUUGGAGACACCUACGGGAUUCACAUCUCUUCUUCUACCUUUCUUCUUUUAUUUUAUUUUUGGUUUUGUUUCAGCCAUGAGAGGCUGAAACCUUUUAUUCUAGUUGAAGAUUAGGUGAUACUUUAGUUGUUAUAUGGAUUGGGAGACUUGAUCAAACAUUGUUUAACUUUUGGUUGUUCAAUAUUUGUGCAAUUUCAUGCUUGAUUUCAAUAUUGCUUUGUUGUUUAGAUCUACGUUGAUUCUUGAUUGCAAAGUAAUAAUAUGUUAGUUUGGAUGAUUUAAGUCCGUAAUUGCUUGGAUUAUUCAAACAUAAAAACACUUGGUGUAAAAACUAAGGAAAUUGUAUGAUCUAACGACAUCUCAUGCAUUUGAGUAGUUAGCAUUGGAUCUCUCUAUCUCUUCAUGCAAUUAACAGUUGUUUUGAUGCCUAAGGCCCAAUGACGUUCCUUGAAAAUUUGUUAAUUAGUAAUUAAUUAGAGGACAUUCCCUAAUUGGUUUAAUCAUAAGGAGAGACAUGGUGGUGAGAAGCGUCUUCCAUCUCCAUAACUAAUCUAUUGAAUCAAUUAAAAGAAACUAAGUGUCAAUGAUCAAUCCCAACAACUGAAGUAGAUCCAAUUCUUCAACUAGAGCUUUCUUAUUAUUUAUUUCUCUUUAUUUUUAUUAUUUACUUUAUUUUUAUUGCUUUCAGUUUUAGAUUAAUUAAAUCAAUCUCAAACCCCCCCAUUUUACUUUCAGUUUGUUUGUUUUCAGUUUAUCUCGUUUUUAGUUUAUUUGGCUUUCAGUUUUAUUUUGUUUCAGUUUUAUCUCGUUUCAGUUUUGUCUCGUUUCAGUUUUAUCUCGUUUCAGUUUUAUCUCGUUUCAGUUUAUUUUGCUUUUAGUUUAUUCCGUUUUCAAUUUAUUAUUGUUUCAGUUUAUUUUCUUGGUCUUGAUAAGGAAAAUAGGUAAGUUCUCAAUUCCCUGUGGAUUCGAUCCUUUCACCACUAUCUACAGUUGUAAAUUGUUGAUAACCAGAAAGGUUAUUUUUGACCGGUUUCGACAACCGCGAUUCAGUCAGUAUGUUUGGUACAUCUUUUCUAGCAUAGAAGGUGUAAGCUAAAAACCUAUGCAAGUAUUUUAAGCAAGUAUUGCAGGUCAUUGGAUUUAGUGGGGGAGUAGGAGUCUGGUGGGUUGUCACACAUGUCAGCAUAAACAGAAUUGGCAUUGUACUCAACAGGGUAAUCACAGAUGGAAUCUGGGCAAUCACAACCCAAUGCAGCAUUGAAUUCAUGCAUGGUCAUAUGAAAUCGCUGCCCUAUCAACCUAAAACUUACUGUGUCAGGUGUGUGUAUGGUGGUCAUGGCAGCCUUGUCAAAGAAGAAUGUGCAGAAGAACUCUUGAAUGAGUUCUAUGAAUGCAAACAUGCAAAGGUGAAAGAAUGUGCCCCACUCGAUGCUGUCAAUGAGAGAAUCUACUUUUGCAUGAAUCCCCAGUGCAUCAAGUGUGUCAUGGUGCAUAAACUUACCUGGAUGGUAGGGGAGGGAGGAGAUACUCUUAAACCUGGUGCACUCGGCCUAUUUGUUAAAGGCCAGAGCCUUUGGUGCAUGAUCCGGGGUUGAGGGUUUGGGCAAAUCAGACGUCCCGCAGAAGUCGUGUCUAGUGUGCUAUUGGAGGCUCCCAUUCGGCGCUUUGUGCUGGGUUGCUGCGGUGAGGCUGUGAGCACUUUAUCAAGUGUGUCACGACCUUCUAGUUUUAUUGUUACAUCUGAUGACUAUUCAACAAUAGGAUCUGUCCACUAGGCAUGUCGAAAUCAAUGAAGUGCUUAAGUUAAAAUUGCAGGGACUUGGGCAACUCCAACUCAUGCUCUCAAAAAACUUAUCAAAAAUUUUAAUUCUAAUAUUAUUUCUAUGUAAGACUCUUUUCCCUCUAAUAAAAUUGAGGAAUGUGGUUAUGAUUGUUGCUUUCUUGAAAGGUGACAAAAACUAGUAAGAGGGCACUUGAAGUGCAAUGUAGACUUGGUCAUCUGCAGUCAAGAAUGCAAGUCUUCAUUUGUGACUCCCAUUUGGAAUUCUGAAGGAAUGUUUAUAGAAGGUUUGAUUGGAUUUGCCGUUUUUAUGUACACUCCAUCUAUUGUUGAAGCUCCCGAUCUUAGACGGUUUAACUCAAACCAACAAAGUUCAAGUCAAUAUAGAGAUGGAUUCCAAAAGUGUGAUAAAUGUUGUUCACUCACUAGAUGAAGACCUUAUUGAAUUUGAGUUAAUUAUUAUGGAUUGUUGAUAAUUACUAUUGUUGGGGACUAAUUGGGCUUGUAUUGAAUUUAGAAAUAAACUAAGAAGCUAUUCAUUACUUUGCAAAUGUAACUACAUUAUAUGUUAGUCCUACUUGUUGAUAUGAACUUCUGAAUUCUUUUUGUAAUAAUUUUUUUUAAUGUUUUUUCUUAUUUUUUAUUUAAUAUUUUGAAUUCUAUAUUAGAUACAAUCGAGAGGCUUGCUGACUUGGAAGUUAGAACGGAUUUAAUAUAUUAAGUUUUUUAUGGAUUAAAAUUAAUAAAAUUUAAAUUAAAAAAGUGCUUUUAACAUUAUGGAAGAAAAUACAUGGAUUUGAAGCGAUUCAUUGAAAAAAAAAAAAAUUAAAUGUGUGAUUUGUCCACCUUUCGGCAUUACACUUUUGCAAUAUCAUGCCAAAACUUUAAAAAUAUCUCGGAUGGUAGUGUGUGUCAUGCUGAAAUCUAUCUUCACUCUGAUACCACGUGUCAUAGGCACUCUUGAGCACUGCACCUAUGCGGCACUUGGACAGACCCCAACGAGAUUACAGCUUGCUAAAUUCAGCCUAUCGAACAGUCUUGCCACAUUGACUGGUUUCGCCCUGCCUUAAGCUCAUAAGGGGAGCGGCUCCAGCCCUCGACCAAUGUAUGCAAGAAUGUGAUCCCACAUGCAACAACCCUUUUGAGCAACUCCCUGCCUAAUUUUUAUGGCAAUAUCUUCCCCAGUAUGGUGUUGCACAUCAGCAACUCCCUGCCUAAUUUUUAUGGCAAUAUCUUCCCCAGUAUGGUGUUGCACAUCUCCAAAAUUUAUAGACGUGACAACUCAUACUAGGUUGCAUUUUUUCAAGACCUAAAAAGACAAUUUACAAAAUAUGGCUCAAGAUAUAUCCAAAUACAUACAAAUAAGCCCAGGUCAAAGAAUAAAAGACCAACUAGGCUAACUCAAACCAACCAAAUCAACCCAAAUUAUAAUCCAAACCCAUCAGAAAUUUCAGAGUCUUCCCAGCCCAAUUCCAGUGAUUCCAGCAAAAGACACAACACCAUCCAUAGCCACCCAAAAUCUCAACAACUCCAAAUCUGACAAGUACUUUCACNNNNNNNNNNNNNNNNNNNNNNNNNNNNNNNNNNNNNNNNNNNNNNNNNNNNNNNNNNNNNNNNNNNNNNNNNNNNNNNNNNNNNNNNNNNNNNNNNNNNNNNNNNNNNNNNNNNNNNNNNNNNNNNNNNNNNNNNNNNNNNNNNNNNNNNNNNNNNNNNNNNNNNNNNNNNNNNNNNNNNNNNNNNNNNNNNNNNNNNNNNNNNNNNNNNNNNNNNNNNNNNNNNNNNNNNNNNNNNNNNNNNNNNNNNNNNNNNNNNNNNNNNNNNNNNNNNNNNNNNNNNNNNNNNNNNNNNNNNNNNNNNNNNNNNNNNNNNNNNNNNNNNNNNNNNNNNNNNNNNNNNNNNNNNNNNNNNNNNNNNNNNNNNNNNNNNNNNNNNNNNNNNNNNNNNNNNNNNNNNNNNNNNNNNNNNNNNNNNNNNNNNNNNNNNNNNNNNNNNNNNNNNNNNNNNNNNNNNNNNNNNNNNNNNNNNNNNNNNNNNNNNNNNNNNNNNNNNNNNNNNNNNNNNNNNNNNNNNNNNNNNNNNNNNNNNNNNNNNNNNNNNNNNNNNNNNNNNNNNNNNNNNNNNNNNNNNNNNNNNNNNNNNNNNNAUAUAUAAAAAUUUAAUGGUAUCAAAAAAAUUAUUAAAAAAAAAAAAUUUUCCCAUUCUGAAAUAAUCAGAGCCUAAGGAGGAUAUACAAUCGACUCCUUUAGACAAGCCAACCAUUAGAGGAGAAAAUCAAUAAAAAAAUGAUAAUUGAUUUUUUUUUCCCUUCUCUCUAUUUUACUUAAAUAUAAAUACAUAAUCAAUAAAUUUCAAUUGAUUGUACAAAGAGAAAUUCAUUUCAAUUUUAACUGAAUUUCGAAGCUACGUUUUACUAAUUAAAUGAUAAUUUUUUUGGUCUUUUAAAUAUGUCCAAAUUAAUAUUCAUAUUUAUUUUUAAAUAACUCAAAGAUUUAAUUUUUAUUUUUUGACUUUAUCAAACUGAAUAUCUAUAAGGGUGAGCAUCAGUUCAGUUUAGUUCAAAACCGAACAAAACCGAAUAAAUCAAAAAUUAAAUUUUAAUAUUUGUGAAAACUGAAUCGAACUGAUUUUGAUCAAAAACUAAAUUGAAUUGAACUGAAUCGAUCUGAUUCGAUUCAGUUUCAUUGAUUUGAAUUUUUAAUAAAUUUUUUAUUUUUUACUUUUUAUUUUUAUUAUUUUAAAUUUUAAUUAAAAUAUUUUAAUCUUAAAUAAUAUAAUAUCUCUAUAUUAUUGAUUAUCACUAAUUGAUUCGGGAAAAAUUAAAAUUGAAUUAAAUUAAAAUAACUGAAAUUUUUAAAAUAAAAAAUCAAAUCACAUGUGAAAUGAAUAAAAUAUCGAACUAAAUUUUUAAAUUAAUUCAAUUCAAUUAAUUUUUUUUUAUUUGAACUAAAUACUACUCACCCUAUCUACUCGUAUAAAUUUUAAUUAAUUAUCUAAAUAUAUUUAGGAUAUCCUGCAUGAUAAGUUACAUUUUUUAUUUUUAAAUUACGUCAAAAUUAAUAUCCAUUCUCGAUUUUUUAAAAUUAAUAAUUUAAUAUAUAUAUUGUUUAAUUUUAUAAAAAAAUAUUUAAAAUUUAUAUCAAUAAAAUCUUAAAUUUUGGCAGAAUUAAAAUAUAUAAAUUAAAAAUAAAAUAAGUAAUUUUUGCCCUGAAUUAAAUUACAGCUUAUAACUGAAUUUUAUUUUGCAUAUGUUACUUACUAUAAUAAAAUUGUUAUUAAAUUUAAAUAUGUUGAUAGUUUUCAGAUUAAUUCGGGACACGUUAUAAUUGAUUAUAUCGAGUCAAUAUCCUCAAUUGUGAAGAUCAUCUCUCAUCAACACAGAUAAUUGAAGUGUGUUCCAAGCUUUCCUUCAAAGUGGGAGCUCAGCCAGGUUGUUUAUCUGUAUCUGUCAUAAAUUUGUAGUUGCAGGUACGUAAUUUAUGCCAAUAUCGCUUUCUAAAUUUAUUAUAAAUUGUAAUUUAAGAAACAUAACAUCGUUUCUUUCUUAAAGAAACUCCAUCAAUUGAGCCACGGUCAAACGUAGACAAGGGGCUAUCCCCCGUGAAAUUUUUAGAUUUUUUAAAGAGUAUUAGUAUAAUUUCACAUUAAUACCUAACGUUUUAAAUUCUUUUCUCUUUUAUUUUUUCUCACUUUUACAGCAGCUCCUAACCUUUUAUUUUCUUUUAUCUCCUAAUUUCUAUCUAACAAAUUUCAUUUUAAUUCACAAAUUUUAUUUCUUCAAAUCCACUAUCUAUUAUCCAUUUUUUUUCUCUUUUUCGAGAUGAGUUAUUUUCUCAUUUUAUUUUUUAUAUUAUUUUUUAUUGUUAAAAAUUAAUUUAUAUUUUUUAUUUAUUUGAUUAUGUUGUUAAUUUAUUAUUGUUUAUUUCACUUAAUUAUUAAUAAUAUUAUUAUGGCUAGUAGUUUAAUCUACUUAAAAUUUAAAAAAUUGUGUAAAUUUUAAAUAUUAUUUUUAGGGAUAAUAAUUUAAUCUAAUCAAAAUUAGUACAAUAGUAUAAAUUUUAAAUAAUAUUUUUAUGGGUACUAAUUUAAUCUAAUCAAAAUUAAAAAAUUUUAUAAAUAUUAAAUAUUAUUUUUAUGGAUAAUAAUUUAGUGUAAUAAAAAUUAAAAAAAUUAUGUAAAUACUAAAUAUAGUUUUUAUAGAUAAUAGUUUAUAUUUAAUUAAAAUUAGAAAAAUUAUAUAAAUAUUAAAUACAUUUUUUAUGGAUAAUAGUUUAUGUUUAACUAAAAUUGGAAAAAUUAAAUAAAUUUUAAAUAUUUUUUAAUUGGUAAUAGUUUAAAUUUUGAUAAAUAUGAUUUUAUGGGUGAAAUAAUAAAAUAUUAUUUUUUUAAAAAAUAAAUUUUAACAAUAGAAUUAUUAAUGUAUUUAAAUUAUGUGUAUUAUUAUAGAGAUGGAGCGAUUCUUUAAAAAAAUGUCAACAAAUGCAUCGUCAUCGUUAUCGGUGAAUCAACCUGUUCAAUCAACUUCACCUAAGUAAGUAAUCGCUGAGAAUUGUGAAGUUGAUAUCAAAAACCUUCCAUCUGAUUCAGGACUUCAACCUAACAUAAUGAGGUAUUCGCUUGAUGUUAGAAAUCAGGUACGCAGAACUUACCUACUAAAAGGUCUAUAUCAACCACACAGUCAUAAAUUUUCUUAAAGAGUAGAUGGAAAUCGAAAUAGAAGAUUUAUUGUAUCUUGGUUUGAUGAAUUUGGGAGUUGGUUAGAAUAUAGCAUAACUAAAAAUGCUGUAUAUUAUUUAUAUUGUUAUCUUUUUUUCAUUUGAGCGUAGUGAAAGGGGUUAUGAUGCUUUUGUUACUGAAAGUUUUAGUAAUUGGAGAAAAAAGAAAAAUUUGAGAGAACAUGUAGGAAACCAUAAUAGCAAUCAUAAUAGAUGUCAUUUAGCUUGUCAAUAUUUAAUGAACCAAACUCAACACAUUGAAGAGUCUAUUUCAAAACAAUAAAAAAAGUUAAAGAUUGAGUAUCAUAGCUCCUGAGAAUUUGAAACUUAUAGCUCUUUCUAUUCAAAAAGAUAUCAUUAAUGCGUAUGCAGUUGAAACAAUAAAUGCUAUAAUUAGAGAUUUGGGGAAUGAUUUAUUUUCCAUUUUAGUUGAUGAAUGUUGGGGUGUAUCAGUGAAAGAGCAAAUGAGAGUUGUCAUUCGUUAUGUUAAUAAAUUUGGAUGUGUUGUUGAAAGAUUUUUUGAUAUUGUGCAUGUUAAUGAUACUAGUGCAUUAUCACUUAAAAAAGUUAUAGAGUCUUUAUUCUCUACCCAUGGUUUGAGUGUAUCAAGUUUGAGAGGCUAAGGAUAUGAUGGAGCUAGUAAUAUGCGAGGGAAAUUUAAUGAGUUUAAGAGUUUGAUUUUAAGGGGGAAUUCUAGUGCUUAUUAUGUCCAUUGUUUUGCUCAUCAACUCCAACUCACACUUAUUGCAAUUGCUAAAAACAUUCAAGCAUAUAAGUAUUUUUUUAAUACCAUUGCACGUUUGUAUAAUUUGUUAGAGGUUCUUGUAAAAAAAGAGACAUGCUUUGGGAAAAGCAAAGAGAGAAAGUAGUUGAAGGGAUUGAAAUUGUAGAAAUAGCAAUUGUAUAAGGUUUAAACUAAGAGAUAACAAUAAAGAGAUCAGGAGAUACUCAUUGAAAAUUUUAUUAUAGUACAAUAAUUAAUUUGAUACAUUUAUUUUUAUUUAUGAUUAAUAUUCUUGAAUAUAUUGGUGAAAACGGAAAUGAUGAUCCACAAAGAGGUGAAGCAAUUGAGUUGCUAGAUGUUAUGAGUCAUUUUGAAUUUAUUUUUGUAUUGCUUUUCACGAUAAAAAUUUUGGGAAUCACUUGUGAUUUAUCACAAGCUUUGCAAAGAAAGGGAUCAAGAUAUUAUAAAUGUUAUGCAGCUAGUUAAAGUUUCCAAAUAUCGAAUGCAAAUUGUAAGAGAUGAUGGUUGGAAAUUGUAAAAUAUAAAAUAGUUGUAUUUCACAAUAGAAAUUACAACCUAUUUAUACAUGAGAGACGGUAUCUAAACAGGAAGGAAAAUCAAGUCUAUGAUUAUACAAUCCCUGAUAUUAAGUAACUAACCCAUCUAUCAAUAUUUAUUUCCUAUAUUAACAUAUUUACUUCCUAUAUAACUUGUAACACUCUCCCUCAAGUUGGAUCAUAGAUAUUUAUCAUGCCCAACUUGUUAGAAAAAUAUUCUAUUCGAGACCCAUUUAAAAUUUUGGUGAAUAGAUCACCCAAUUGCUCUCUUGUCUUCACAUAACUGGUAAAAAUUAAAUUUUCUUGAAUCUUCUCACGGAUGAAAUGACAGUCAACUUCAAUAUGCUUAGUCCGUUCAUGAUAUACUGGAUUGGAAGCAAUGUGAAGAGCAGCCUGAUUAUCACAUCAAAGUUUCGCGGAUGUUGCAACAUCCAUACCAACUUCCUUCAGUAGAUGAUUUAUCCACAAAAUCUCAUAAGUCGAUUGAGCCAUGACCCUAUAUUCUGACUCUGUACUGGAUCUGGAUACCACAUUUUGCUUCUUACUUUUCCAAGAUACUAGGUUUUCUCCAACAAAUACACAGUAGCCUGUAGUCGACCUUCUAUCACUUUUAGAUCCCGCCCAGUCAGCAUCAGAAAAACACUCAAGUGCAGUAUGCCCAUGAUCUCUGUAGAGUAUACCAAGUCCAAGAGUCCCUUUUAGAUAACAUAAAAUUUGUUCUAGAGCAGCCCAAUGUGUCACCGUAGCUGCAGACAUGAACUGGCUUACAACACUUACUGCAAAAGCAAUAUCUGGUCGAGUCAUCACCAUAAGAUAGUUCAGCUUUCCAACCAACCUCCUGUACCUUUCUGAAUCAUCAUAAGGGUCUCCGUCAUCUUUUGUAAGACAUAUAUUAAGAAUCAUUGGUGUGCUACAUGGUUUAGCUCCCAUCUUCUCAGUUUCUACAAGUAAGUUAAUGACAUAUUACCUUUGAGACAGAAAAAUUUCCUUUUUACUCCUUAAGACUUCGACUCCUAAGAAAUACUUAAGCUGACCCAAGUCUUUAGUAUGAAAACUCGCAUGCAUGUAGUUUUUGAGAGAAGAGAUUCAUGUACUAUCAUUCCCUGUAACGACAAUAUCAUUAACAUAUACAAUAAGGAGAAUAAUAUCAGUAUUUGAAUUUCUAUAGAAGACUGAAUGGUCACACUUAUUUUUUUUCAACCCAAAUUUUUGAAAAACUUCACUGAACUUUCCAAACCAUGCACGGGGACUCUACUUCAAACCAUACAAAGAUUUCUUCAAAUGGCAGACUUUCCCAUACUCUCCCUAAGCAACAAACCUUAGUGGUUGCUCCAUAUACACCUCCUCUUGGAGGUCACCAUGUAAAAAUGCAUUCUUAAUAUCUAAUUGGUGUGAAGGCCAAUGCUGAGAAGCAGCUAAGGAGAUGAACAAGUGAAUUGAGGUCAUUUUUGCCACAGGAGAAAAGUGUCAGAAUAGUCAACGCCAUAGGUUUAGGUAUAACCUUUGGCGACAAGAUGGGCCUUAAGCCUCGCUAUGGAGCCAUCUGGAUUAACUUUGACAGCAAAAAUCCAUUUACAGCCUACAGUCUUCUUGCCAGAGGGUAAAUCAACUAAUUCCCAAGUAUGAUUUUCAUCUAGAGCCUUGAUCUCCUCAAACAUUGUAUCACGCCAUCCAGAAUGAGCCAGGGCCUCUUUAAUUGUCUUAGACAAAGAAAUAGAAUCUUAAGAGAUAAUUAAGGAGAUAGAAGGAGACAGGUGAUCAUAAGACAGAAAAUUAGCAAUAAAAUAGAUAGAUUUAUGUUGUCGUUUACCUUUACGAAGACUAAUGGGGAGGUCAAGGUCAGUCGGUAGUGGAUCUGAUGGCGAAGAAGAUUCUGGUGCGGAACAUGUAUCAUCAGGUACUAGUCUCCAAGAGUAAACUUGAACAACUGAUGGGUUAACAGGAGGCUAAAUAUUAGGAGGAAUGUUACCAUCAUAUUGUGCAGUAGAAGGCAUACUCGAAGAGGUCCCACCAUCAGAUAUGAUUCUAUAGAUGAGCCACUCAUCAUCAUCCUCUUGAUCAGGAGAGAUUUGUGCAACAGGAUAAAAAGAAACUUUCUCGAAAAAGACUACGUCUGUUGAGACCAGAUACUUGUUGAGGUCUAGAGAGUAACACCGAUACCCCUUCUGAAGGCGAGAAUAUCCCAAGAAAACACUUCAAAGCUUUAGGAUCAAGUUUAGUCACAUGAGGUCUGACAUCCCAAACAUAGCAAGUACUGCCAAACUGUCGUGGUUCGAAAGGAAAUAAUAGCUUCUUAGGAAAGAGGACAUUAUAAGGAGUAUUACCGUUUAGUACUGCGAAGGGCAUGCAAUUAAUGAGAAAGCAUGCAGUAGAGACAUCAUCAGCCCAAAAUUGUUUAGGAACUUGCAUUUGAAACAAUAAAGCUCUAGCAGUCUUAAGAAGAUAUCGAUUCUUCCUUUCAGCUACCCCAUUUUGAGCGGGUGUAUCAACACAUGACGAUUGGUGAAGAAUACCAUGUUGAGUCAUAUAAGCCUGGAAUGAUUCUGACAUAUAUUCUUUAGCAUUGUCGCUCCUUAAAAUUUUCACAAAAACAUUAAAUUGAGACUUGAUUUCAGCACAAAAGGCAAAAAAAUGAGAAAACACUUCUAAACGAUGCUUCAUAAAAUAAAUCCAAGUCAUUCUAGAGUAAUCAUCCAUAAAAGUGAUAAAAUAUUUGAAUCCAGUCUUAGAUCCAACCAGACAUGGGCCUCAAAUAUCUGAAUGAACUAAUUCAAAAGCAGACUCAGCUCAUUUAUUGACUCUAGGACUUAAAGAGAUUUGAUGAUAUUUUGCAAAAUGACAUGACUCACGUUCCAGUAAAGACAUCUCAUAAAAUUGAGGGCAUAACUUCUUCAAAACUGGUAAAUAAGGGUGUCCCAACCGACAAUGUGCCUCAAACGGAGACACGACACUGGAGCAGGCAACAGGUUGAGGCACCCAUGCAUCCAAAAUAUAGAGACCCCCAGAUACAUGUCGUUUACUAAUAAUCUGCUUCGUUACAAGAUUAUGAAUGAGACAAUGAUCAGAAAAAAAAAAGAAAACACAACAAUUUAGGUUUUUAGUAAGUUUACUCACAUAGAUUAAAUUAAAGAUAAGAUUAGGUAAACUUAGCACAAAUGAUAAGGUAAUAGAAGGAGUAGGUUUAACAGUCCCAGAACCCUCAACAUUAUAGGUUGAUCCAUCGGCUAUAAUAACAGGAGAAUAUGCUUUAUGAGAUCGAAAGCUAGUAAAAAUAUGAGGAUUACCUGUCAUAUGAUCUGUGGCACCAGAAUCAAUAACCCAUUUAUAUGAAGAGGAAAUAAGAUGUUGUAAAAUUAGUUUAGAUUUCAAAAAGAUUUUAUGGUCGUUGGAGAUUUCAUGGUAAUUAGAGAUUUUAUGGUCGUUGAAUAUUUUAUGGUAAUUAAAGAUUUUAUGGUCAUUAAAUAUUUUAUUUAUGAGAUUUAAAUAUAAUAUUAAAUAUGACCAUUAUGAUUUUAUUUCAAGAUUCUUAUAACCAUAUAUAGCGGUUAAGUUUUCCACAAUAAAUAGCUUUCGUCUCUACAAAGAUAUUGACGCCCCAUUUUCUACUUGAUUCUUUCUUUUCUCUAUGUUAUCUGCUGGGUUAUAAAUCAGAGAUAAAUUCUUGUUAUCCUGAUCCUGGGAAUUAAAUCCCAGAAGAACCUGUUUAAUCCUGAGGGAUCACAAAAUAAAUCCUUAAGGACAGUGUUCAACACGACUCAGGUUUCAUUGUUUUACCCAAUAUUUCUAACAAUCUUAAGGAUUUAUCUUUACACAAAUGGAACCAAAUGUUGUCACUGUCUCUACUUCUGCACUGCCCGCUUCCAAUGACAUUAUCACUGUCUCUGCUUCUACAAAUGGUGGGGUCUCUUCUGCCUACUGUCCUCACAUCUCAAAGAUUGAGAAUCAAGACCUGUACCUGCUGUUGAUCCAAAGUUGCAUGAAAUCUGGGUCUAUUCUAAUAAGGUAUAUAGGCAUACAAUUAUCAGUACUCUUUUUAACAAUUUCUUUGAUAACCACUGUUCCUACAAGGAAGCUAAGGAAAUAUGAGAUUCAAUGAAAUAUGUGAUUCAAUGAACCUAAAAUAUACUGCUGAGGAUGUUGACUACAAGAGUAAAUCUUGUACAAGAAAAAGUGCACAAAUCAAAUAACAGGUAUGAAAAUAAGAAAUCUGAUUACAAACCCAAAUUUAAUAAUCCCACCUUUGAAAGAAAGGACAUUGUUUUGUAUGUGAUAAGCUGGAUCGUUAUGCACCUCAAUACAGGAAAAGAGUGAUAAAUGACAUUCCUCCUAAACCAAAAGUGAAUUUAGUUGAAGGAGAUGACAUUAUUGUUGCGGUUAUUUCUCAAACUUUUCUUGUAGCUAAUGUGCUAGAAUGGGUAGUAGAUUUUGGUGCUACUAAGCAUAUCUAUACAAACAGAAAUGUGUUUACUUCCUACUGUACAGUGGGGGAAGGAGAAGAGCAUGUGUAUUUGAGUGAUUCUAGGACUAUAAGUGUCCUUGGUAAAGGGAAAGUUCUUCUCAAACUCACAUCUGGCAAGAUCUUGGCACUUAAUGAGGUCUUCAUGUACCUAAUAUGAGAGCUAAUUUAAUUUCUGUAGCUCUAUUGGGAAAGGCUGGGAUUAAGGUGUCUUUUGGGUCAGACAAAAUUAUACUGACAAAAAAUGAAAUUUUUAUUGGAAAAGUUUAUUGUAAUCAGAGACUCUUUAUUCUCAAUAUUUUUGCAAUAACAAAUGGAAAUACAUCAUCUUGUGCUUUCUUGCUUGAUUCUUUUGAUUUAUGAUAUGCUAGAUUAGGACAUGUUAGUGCUUCUUAUAUUAAAAAAUGCAAUAUCUUGGUAUAAUAUCUGGCACCGGUAAUACAUGUCUAAAUAAAUGUGAGAUUUGUGUAGAAUCUAAGUCAACAAAAAAAAUCAUAUUCAAGUACACAUAGAGAAUCUGAAUUGCUUAGUUUAAUACACACAGACUUAGGAGAUUUAAAACAAACCAUUACUAAAGGUGGUAAAAAAUAUUAUGCAACUUUUAUUGAUGACUAUUCUAGAUAUACUAAAGUAUAUUUGCUUAGAAACAAAGAUGAAGCAUUUGAUAUAUUUCAAUUGUGUAAAGUUGGAGUAGAGAAUCAAUUAAAGAGGAAAAUUAAAAAAAAAAAAGAUCAUAUAGAGGUGGGAAAUAUAUCUUAUUUAAUGACUUUUGUGAAAAAAGAAGGAAUAAUUCAUGAAUUUACUUUACCAUAUUCACUUAAAUUCAAUGGAGUAGUGGAAAGAAAAAAUAGAACAUUAAAAUAAAUAAUGAGUGCUUUAUUAAUAAGUUAUUCCUCACCUAAUAACCUUUGAGGGAAGCUUUAUUAUCUGCUUGUCAUCUACAAAAUAGGAUACCCUAUAAGAAAACUGAUAAAACACUCUAUGAACUUUGGACAGGUUAUAUACCUAACUUAAAAUAUUUAAAAGUGUGGGGGUGUCUUGCUAAAGAAAUUCUUCCUGAUCCUAAGAAAUGAAAAAUAGGUUCAAAAACUUUUGAUUGCAUGUUUAUAAGUUAUGUUGAAAUCUAUAAACUCAAGUUCAUAAGUUUGCUUUAGCUUCUAUACAUAAACUUGUUUUAGCUUUCUGAGACAGAAUUUCUUCUAUUAAAGUAUUAAUUGCUUUAGGUUUUAUGCAUAAACUCGUUAUUCAUCAAAUGGAUGUUAAAAACAGUCUUAAAUGGAGACUUUGAAGAAGAAAUUUAUAUGGUUCAACCUAAUGAUUGUAUUGUUUUUGGUCAAGAAAAUAAAGUCUGCAAACUUCUUAGAUCAUUAUAUGGUUUAAAACAAGCUCCCAAACAGUGGCAUGAGAAAUUGGAUUAAGUUUUGUUGAAUGAUGGUUUUAUCUCUGUUGAAGUUGAUAAGUGUGUAUAUACAAAAUGUAUAAAUGAUUGAUGAGUGCGUAUAUACAAAACGUAUAAAUGAUGAAUCUGUGAUUAUUUGUUUAUAUGUGGAUGAUAUGCUUACUUUUGGUACAAAUUAUGAUAUAGUUGUAAAUCAAAAACUUUCAUUGCCUCUAAAUUUGGUAUGAAAGAUGUGGGAGAGGCAAAUGUGAUUUUGGGAGUUAGAAUCAUAAGGAAGAAUGAUAGUCCAAUGCUAUCACAAGAGCAUUAUGUUGAGAAGCUUCUAAGGAAGUUUGGACAUUUUAAUAUCAAACCAGUAAGUACCCCUUGUGAUCCUAACUGUCAAUUAAAGAAAAUUAGAGUCUGAACAUGCAUAGAUCAUUGGGAGUCUGUUGCAUUUAGUGAAUUUCUUAUCAAUACCAUCUAUAUCAAUGCGUUGUGAUUGUCAAGCGGCAAUAGCCAUUGCAAAAAAUAAAACUUUCAAUGGUAAGAAUAAACAUAUUCGUCUGAGACAUAAUAUUGUUAAGCAGCUGCUGAAAGAUGGAACUAUUUCCAUUGAUUAUGUGAAGUCAGAAGUGAAUUUGGCCAAUUCUCUGACUAAAUCUUUAGAGAGAAAACUAAUAGAUGAAACAUCGAGAGGAAUGGGACUUAAGCCAGUUUGAAAUUAACAAUGAUGGUAACCCAACCUUUGUGAUUGGAGAUCCCAUGAAAAAGGUUCAUAUGUGUAAUAACAAGUCACCUGUUACUUCUGAUAGCACUAUUUAUUGUUGUCCCUUUCCAUGGUAUGAGAAGUGCUAGACUGCAUUAAUGAGAGGAUGAGAUGAAAACUCUUAAUGAUAUUCAUAUCCCUUAUGGGUGGUGUAUAAAUUGCAGUACACUUGAUGAUAUCACCUAUAUAAGUGUGGAGUGGGGCCGCUUCUAUGAGAUUGUGGCAUAAUCUCUAGAGCACUUAUGAACUACCAGGCGCGCGCAUGGCCUAUUAGUGCAAAACGGCGUUGACAACAAGAUCUGUGGAGUGUUAUGAGAUUGAUGAGAAAUUAACAUACAAAAAAGAGUUUUGGUUCAUAGAAACAAAAGUUUCACCAAUUACUCUGUAUGUUAAGUCUUAUUAAUCUAGGUCUGGUUCAUAGCCUAAAAGACACCAGAUUCGAAACAUACACUCUAAAUUUCUAAAUCCAGCAAUGAAAAUCUUUUGAAAUCUGUGGGGGAUUAUUGUAAAAUUAGUUUAGAUUUCAAAAAGAUUUUAUGAUCAUUAAAGAUUUUAUGGUCGUUGGAGAUUUCAUGGUAAUUAUAGAUUUUAUGGUCGUUGAAUAUUUUAUGGUAAUUAAAGAUUUUAUGGUCAUUAAAUAUUUUAUUUAUGAGAUUUAAAUAUAAUAUUAAAUAUGACCGUUAUGAUUUUAUUUCAAGAUUCUUAUAACCAUAUAUAGCGGUCAAGUUUUCCACAAUAAAUAGCUUUCGUCUCUAUAAAGAUAUUGACGCCCCAUUUUCUACUUGAUUCUUUCUUUUCUCUGUGUUAUAUGCUGGGUUAUAAAUCAGAGAUAAAUUCUUAUUGCCAUGAUCCUGGAAAUUAAAUCCCAAAAGAACCUGUUUAAUCCUGGGGGAUCACAAAAUAAAUCCUUAAGGACAGUGUUCAACACGACUCAGGUUUCAUUGUUUUACCCAAUAUUUCCAACAUAAGACACAUUUUACCUGUCUCAGCUGCUAUUGAAGAUGUUGGGAUAAUUUUAAUAACAUGGAUCUUAUUGUCAAAAACCAUUUCAAUCAAAACUCUAUACUCGUAUACCUUUAAACGAAUUAAAUGAAGAUAAUCUAACACCCAAACAGCAAACGAACCACAGAUCUGACAAGCGGGCUGCAAGGCAACUAAACGCCUCCACCCCACAUCCAAACGGCAAACGAACAACAGAUCUGACAAGCGGGUUGCAAGGCAAUUUCAGCGUCCUCUCUAGGUGGACGAUAAGAGAUAAAUUUUACCCUAAAUGGGUAACACAAAAGAACAGGAAUCCUAAGUCUCCAAAAAUUUUAAAACUUGACGAGAGAAAAAAAAAUCUCUAUGAGAAUGGCUCUGAUACCAUGUAAAAAUAUAAUAUUUUGUUGUAUUUCACAAUAAAGAUUAAAACCUAUUUAUACAUGAGAGACAGUAUCUAAACAGGAAGGAAAAUCAAAACUAUGAUUAUACAAUUCCUGAGAUUAAGUAACUAACCCAUCUAUCAAUAUUUAUUUCCUAUAUUAACAUAUUUACUUCCUAUAUGACUUGUAACAUGAAUCUUUACUACUUGAAGUAGUGCAAUUUUAUGGUAAACAUGAUAUAGUUGUGUUAGAGAUGGAUGAUUUGUACACAAUGAAAGGGAGAUCAAGAAGAAGAACUAAAAAGAUGAGAAAUCUUCAUUUCUACCGUGUUGAGCUAUUUUACUCUGUCAUUGAUAUGCAGUUUCAAGAACUUAAUAAUCGUUUUGAUGAAGUGAAUACAAAUUUGCUUUUAUGUAUGAUAUAUCUUGAUCCCGAAUACUUAUUCUCUGCAUUUGAUGUGAGCAAAUUGAUUGAACUUGCAAAAUUUUAUCCAUAUGAAUUUCUCCAGUUACUCUACUUGAACUUGAAUCUCAACUUGAGAACUUUGUCUUUGAUAUGCAUAUGGCCGAGAAGUUUUCUGAUGUGAUAGGAAUUUUGGAGCUCUUGUUAAAAAUGUGGUAGCUACAAAAAAGCAUAUUGUAUUUCCCUUGGUGUAUAUGUUUGUUAAAUUGUCAUUGCUCUUACCAGUUGCUAAAGCCACAUUUGAAAAAGUAUUUUCUGCAAUACACAUCAUCAAGAAUCGACUCCGCAAUAAAAUCAUCAUCAAGAAUCGACUCCGCAAUAAAAUGGGAGAUAAUUUAUUGAAAGAUUGUUUGGUAACUUAUAUCGAAAGAGAUGUAUUUAUAAAUGUUGAUAAUGAAGAUAUUAUGAAUAGAUUUCAAAUAAUGAAAAAUAGAUGAGAAAUAUUGUAAUUUUAUUGUAAUUGCUUAUCACUUUUUUAAUAUUCUUUUAAUAUAUAUUAUUUUUUAAUUAUUUAUUUAAUUUGGAUCCCUCCUGACCAAAAUUUAUGGAUCCAUCACUGUCCAUCAUCACCAGGGUUGUUCAUGGAACCAAUCCAUAAAUUCUAACUUAAAAGAAAUUAUAUACCCAAAAUAACUCGAAAUAAAGUUUCUAUAUCUUAUUUAUAAUAGCUCAUAUUUAAUUUAUUUCAUAUAAAUUAAAAAAAAUUUAAAUUUUAAGUCUUUGACCGUUACAUGAUAGAAGACCAUGUAAUUACUCCUUUAUAGGUAGUAGGCAUAACUGCCCACCAAGCAACUCUCUUUUUUCUCUCUCUUUAAUUCUAUCGUUAAAGAUAGAGAAAGCAUACUCUAAGCUCUCUGAAAAAAAUUUCUCUGCUCUCUCUUUCAUUAUCAAUUAUCAAAAUAGAUUCUUCUUUUGGAAUAAAAAGUUGUUCUCUCAUUUCAUUCUUUUUUGUUGAACUAUUUCCUGUAGAUGUUGGGCUAUUUCUUGUAUGCGUCAGGUGACCUCCUGUUCGUGUGGAAUGAAAGGGUGUUGGUCAUGGAAUUUAUGGAUAUCCAGGUGCUUGGGUUCUUAUGGAAUAAACUGUAAUUUCAAAUAACCUUUAGACUGUGAAUUAUAUGCAUGGUUGGUUAGAAACGCGUGAUUAUAUAUAAGCUAUGUGAUAUAAGGUGAACUGGUGUGUUGUUUAUUUAUUUCGAUUUUUCAAUAUUAGUAUCACAGCCUGAUUCCUUGUAUGUCAUAGUUUUAUCGUUAUUAGUUUCUGAAUGCAUAUACUUAUUUAUUUAUUUUUUAUUUUUUAUCCAAGCAUGUUUGCUUAUAUCCUGCUCUAUACUUUUAUUUUUUUUUUUAAAAUGUAAAAUUAGUAUCAUUGGAAAGCUCUUGAAAAAAGCUUUCCAACGGUAUAUCAUAUGAAUUUUUUUUUUAUAUAUUGGCUCAGAUAUAUAUUAUCAAAGUUUAAACCUUUUUGAAAUAAUUUUUUUUAUUCUAAAAUGUUUAUAGAAUAUAUUAUUUUAACCACAGUAGAGGUUAUAUGAACCUAAACUCUAGGAUUUAUUAGGUUUUGCCAAAAUUAAGUAUUACAGAAAGAUUCGGAAUACUAAAUCCCAUACCGAAAAGAUUCGGAAAGAAAUUGGAGCAUGUGAACGGCUGGUCCAGGCUACUGAGCCUAGACCACACACCCAGUCCGCACACAUGCACUGGGCGCCUAGACCGCGCAACCUAUGUGUGCAGCAUUGGCCACGCGUAGGCCAUGCGCGGGCUAGCCUAAAUUGGGCACCUGAAAAGCCCAAGCGCACGCAGGCUGGGUCAACCCAGGCCUUUUUUUAUUUUUCUUAUUUAAAAAAAUUAAAAAAAACAGCUCAAAUUCAUGGUCCAAAAUUUAUAUAAAAAAAUUAUUUUGAAUAGUGACAUUUAUAAAAAAAAAUUAUGGUAUAUGAGUUUAUGUUUCUAGAUAUCAAUCAUAAAAUUUUUAAAACACUUAAAUUAUAAGUAAUUUAAGACAUGAAUCUUAAUAUAAUUAAUUGUGAUUAAUUUUUAUAAUACAUUAGGAUUUUAGACGAUGAUUGAAAAUAUAGUGAAAUUUCAACUCUAAAAAUCUAAUGUAAAAUAAUUAUUAAUAUAAUUUGUUAUUAUUAAGGUUGGUAUAUGUAUGAACUAAGACAUUAACUCAUAUGUAUAAACAUUUCUAAUUUAGACUAAGAACAAUAUGUGCUUUCAAAUCUUUUUAAUUUAUCUUAAUAAGUGAGAGAAGCUAAAGAGGAUAACCUUGAAAUCUAAAGUAAGAAAAUUAUGUAUGUGCUCGAGGAACUAGAAGCUCUAAAAUUCCUUAACCUAGCUAUGGAAAUACUAGAAUAGGUCAAUAUAGUCCAACAUAGGCUGGACCGUGAGGCAUAUAAUAUUUGGAAUAAGUGAAUUUAAAUGCUCACAUCACGUUUACCGAGUAGACUUUACUGAGCAGUAUGGAUGAUAUUAUUAUGCUUGAGUUUACAAAAAUAUGAUUUAACAAUAGACAUACGGUCUGCAUCUAAAAGUGAGGUUUAAUGGAAUCUUGUGUGUCAAUCUUAUAGUUUACACUAUAUAAUCAUACACUUAUAAGAAGAGUUCUCAUCAUAAUAUAAGAAUACAUCUUAAGAUCAUGAGUAGUAUAGUGAAUGAGCUAAAAAAUGCUUGUCAUAUUUUGAUUGACAAACAGAAUAUUUAAGCGGUCAUAUGCUCUUUGUCCAAACACCUAGGAUCACAUGAAAAAUACUAUUUACCCGCAACAUCUAUAUUAAGUACAUGAAACGUAUUAUGCACUUCUUAGAACUAAAGUAGGAACGUCUGAUCUAAUGAGUAUAAAAGUGUAUAUAUCUAGUUCUAAUUCCUAAGGACGAAAAAGGAACUAGUGAAAACAUCAAGGUGGUAAAUAGUAUGGGAUAAAAAAAAAUUAAGCCUAAAAAGAAACAAUAAUAAAGGAAAGGACAAAUGUAAUACCCGGCUAGACUCCGGUAUCGAAAUCCCUACCGUCCGGUGGGAUCUCGGAUGUCAGAAACCUCUAGAAGGGUAAAACCAUGUUUUUAUAAAAUGUUUUAAUGUAUUUUAUGAUUUUAAGUAAAAAGGAAGUUGAAUUUUAAAUGAAAAUAGCCUUGGAGGAAGAUACAGGUUCGGCCGCCGAACUUCAUGUUCGGCCGCCAAACAUGCAUGUGUUUCGGGUGUGCCUUAGGCCCCCGAAGGCAUAAGUGAGGGAAACCAGGUUCAGCCGCCGAACCUUAUGUUCGGCAGCCGAACAUGGCAUGCAUGCUGAGGCACGUUCGGCUCCCGAAUGUGGCCUGGCCAGCCAUCUAUAAAGGGGUCCCUUAACCGAAAUGGGCGAACUUUUCUCCCCAUUUUUGGCCAAGGUGAGCUCUCCGCCGUCCCUCACCAAUUUUUGAGUUCUUCCUUCAGAUCUUUCAAGAUUUUCCUGAGUUUUCACUUUGUUUUGAAGAUUUUGAGCAUUUUAGCAAGUUUUAAAGCUUGGAAGACACAGGAGCUCUUUUCCUUUGGUUUCCAAGUUUAGGUCGUCUUUCUCUCGAUCUUCAAGAGGUAAGAGCCGAUCUUGAGCUCAUUGCAUGUUUUAAACAAGUUUUAAGUUGAUCUAUGGGGUAGAAAUGCAUGUUUAGGUUUUGGUUGAUUUUAUAGGUUAUGAUAAGUUUUUAAGCAAUGUAUGAUGUUUGUGGUUGCUUGAUGUGUUGUAGUUGGGGUUUAAGAUAGUUUAAAACCCCUAGGAGCUUGUAUGCUUGAGUAUGCAUGUUGUAGAUCAGGUUUAUGCAAGUUUGAAUGGAAUGGGAGGCUAUUGUACAUGAAGAGCCGAGUUUCUGCCCUUUUGGCAGAAACCAGGUUCGGCAGCCGAAGGACUUUCGGCCGCCAAACCUGCCUGGGAGGCAAGCCUUUCGACUGCCAAACCCUGCCCCCAAAAGAGGACUUUCGUCUCUGGAGGGCAGUUUCGGCCGCCGAAAGUGCCGCUGAACAUGCAUGAGUUUCGACUCUGUCUGGGAGUUUCGGCCGCCAAAGGUGCCGCCGAACUUGCCUGACUUUCGGCUCUGGAGGGACUUUCGGCCGCCGAACCUGCCGCCGAAAGUGCCCUGUUCAGCCUUCCUUUACAUGUUUCCAUAGAUGUUUUGAGGUGUUUUUUGGGGGUUUUUGGGGAGUAUUUUAAAGUCAUGUUCAUGUAUGUUUGGUCCCUCAUUUGAGUCCAUCUGUGUAGGUUCAGACCCGAGGAACCGAGGACCCCAGCAGUGAGUUCAGCUGCUUCUGUGUCUGUCAGAGCUAGCCAGAGGUGAGUGGAAUAACUCUUUAUGUUUUAAAGUAAAUAAAUCAGUUUUAGCAUGAUUCACGCAUCAUGAAUGCUAUGAGAUAUAAUAGGGUGUUUGCAUUAGAACUCACGAAUAUGUUGCAUUGCAUAAUAUGUUGAUGAUGCGGAUGAAUGUUGAAUGAUCCUUUAGUCCUCGUAUGUUACGAUAUGAUGAUGAUACGGUACGAAAGACCAGUGAGGCCCAUUCUACGCCCCUGGCACCAUGUAAGAGAAAGACCAGUGAGGCCCAUUCUACGCCCCUGGCACAGUAGGAAUGUUAUGUUAUGUUAUGUUAUGUAAGAGAAAGACCAGUGAGGCCCAUUCUACGCCCCUGGCACAGUUGGACUAUGUAGAGGACUAUUGGUGAAAAAUUCAUCCUUGAUGUGAUAUGAUUGUGAUGUGAUGCAUUCCAUGUUAUCAUAUGUUUAAAAUGUUUUAUUAUUCUGCUCACUGGGCUUUAUAGCUCACCCCUCUCCCUUAACUCCCAGGUUUGCAGGUACAGGGUAGACCAGGAGGUCAGCAAGAGUAAUGAAGUCUUGGUUAUGUAAUAGAUAGUGUGGACAUGAAUAAUGUUGAGAUGUUAUGUUUAGUACAGUCAUGUAUAAGUACAGUAUAGAAAUGUAAUGUACUGAUGUUCAUGGAUGUUAGAGGUGUGCUUGACCAUAGAAUGUUGUUAUCCCUUUUAAUACAUGAUCUUAGAUGUUUUAUGAUGCUUAUGUAAACCAACUCAACACUUGUUAUGUCACCCAUUGGGGCAUUGAUGAGAUCCCCAAGAGGGGUCAAUGUUUAUGGUUAUGAUUAUGUAUAGUGCAUGCACAGGUUGAGUUUGGUGUAUGAGAGAAUGAAUGAAUGAAAAGAAAAGUUUUAAAUUUUUUAUAUAUGUUGUUGAUCAUGUAUGGGAUUAAACAGGUUCACAGGUGACAUGUUUGGCUUGCUACGGGUCCCGGCGGCCUUAAGCCGAUCUGGAUCCUAGCGCCGGUAGCGGUCCAAUUUCUGGGUCGUUACAAAUUGGUAUCAGAGCCCUAGGUUCAUAUGGUCGGACCUAGAGUGUCGGGCUCAUAGAUGUUAUAGAAGGUCAAGCACAAUAGGAAGAUCAUGUCCACUAGGAUAGGAUAAAGAGUCCUGUCUUGAAUGGUGAUGUGAAAUGCCAUGAUUAUAUGCAUGUGCAUUAAUGUUAUGCUAUGAUGUGUGAUGUAUGUGAUGUGGGUUCGUGUGUUUGCGCAUGAACCAUUUGAUGCUAAUGUUCUACGUGAUGUACUGUUUUUCAGAAAACAGGAUGAGAGGAACUUGUCGAUCUGCACGAUUGACUGGAGUACCACCCCAGGACGAGGGCACUGAUGCCCGUCCUCCUGCAUUGCCUAGGGCAAUGUCAAGUAGGUCAAGUAGGUCCAGCAGAGAAAGGACCGUAAGAGACCCUAGAAGGUCUUUGGAUCUGGGUAGAAGCAGAUCAGUGAGGGGGAUAGUGCAAGGGGAAAUGUCAGAGGAUGUGGGAGAUCAGAUGGAUGUGGAUCAGAGGAGGGAUGACAGUCUCGGAGUAAGUAUGUCGGAAGAGGGAAUGGGAGAGUCCCAAGGAGGCACUCAGGCCUCGGGAUUUGUUCAGCCACCCUAUUACCCACCCUUUUCACAUAAUCCCGGGUAUUCGAUGGGAGGUACAUCGGAUUACCCCAGUUUUAACCCUUAUCACUCUCAGAUGCCAUACCCAACUUUCUACCCACCGUACCCACAGUACCCCAUGUACCCACCCCCAUCUUUCUAUCCAGGUACAGCAAACCCUACCCCAGGGGAUGCUGCACCUCCUCCACCACCAGCAACACCUACUGUCCCAGAAACCCAAAUGCCUAAACCUAGCUCAUUUGGAGGGAGCAAGGUCAAGAUGACCGACUACAUGAAGCUGGGUGCUCCCCAGUUUGAAAUCGGUGAUGACCCGUUUGUGUACCUUGAAAGGGUCAGAACGAUUACAGAUGAGAUAGGAGCUGAUGACAGUAGAGCCAUUCAGAUGGCUGGGUUCACACUAAAAUGCAGGAAGGCUCGAGAGUGGUUUAAGAACUAUGUGAACCUGAGAUUGGACAACCUAUCAUGGGAGGAGUUUGCAAAUGAGUUUGCAGGAUGGGCUUUCCCUGACAGUUCCAGGGAGCUGAAAAUGAUUGAAUUUGAGCAGUUGAGGCAGACAGAUGAGAUGAGCGUGGAUGAGUAUACAGACAGAUUCUUGGAGCUGUUGCCGUUUGCUGGGCAGAAUCUGGACACAGAUCAGAAGAAGUCAAGGAGGUAUAUCAUGAGGCUCCAUUCCAGGUAUUCCUCCUUGAUUCAGUCAGCAGAGAGGGAGAGUUUCCAUGCCAUAGUGGAUAUGGCUCGAAGGAUGGAGGCUAGUGCUAUCAUCGAAGGGAAAGUCAAACAGUCAGUGGCACAGCCUUCUGGUUCUAAGACCCCAGGUGGGGGAAGGAUAGAUCCUUCUUCUCUGAGUUCAGGAAGUAAGAGGUGGAGCAGUACCACCAAGAAGCCAAAGAAGAACAAGUUCUGGAAUAAGAUCAAGUCAGGUCUGGGAUUAAAGAGUGGCUCAAGCUCUGGUGCAGAUAAUGCAGUAUGCAAGAAGUGUGGGAGGCCGCACAAAGGAGUAUGUCUGGUUGGGACGACAGCCUGCUUCAGAUGUGGGCAGGAGGGACACACGGCACGGGAGUGUCCUAGGGCAGCUUUUGGGGCACAGUCUCAGCAGACAGCUUCUGGUAGUGUGGCUCAGCCAGCAGCUCCAGCCGCGACUCAAGCUAGUGGCAGCCUCUUCUUCAGCGGGUUUCAGGGGUGAAGGCCUGUCAGCUCCAGCACUGAUCUUCACCAUGACACAGCAGGAGGCAAAUACAUCCAACACCGUGGUGUCAGGUAAUCUCAUCAUUGGGUGUUCAGAUGUUUAUGCCUUAAUGGACCCUGGUGCAUCGCAUUCUUUUAUAGCUCCGAGAGCCGUCGAGAGGUUGGGAUUGAUGGUCUCUGAGUUAGAGUGUCCCCUAUGGGUCAGUGGACCCAAGUGUGACCCGUCAGUGGCAGAGUCAGUCUGCCAGUAUAGUCCAAUUUUUGUGGAGGGAAGAUGCCUGUCCGCCGACCUUGUGGUUCUAGAUUUGACAGAUUUUGACGUCAUUCUAGGGAUGGAUUGGCUAUCUACCCAUGGUGCUACCUUGGAUUGCAGAGACAAGGUAGUCAGGUUCAGAUGUCAGGAUGGGUCAGAGGUUGUCUUCAGAGGAGACAGGGGGAGACACCUAGAGGUUUGAUAUCAGCCCUCCAGGCUCGUAGGCUACUCAGGAGAGGUUAUCAGGGUUUUCUAGCUCAUGUGAGAGAGCUGGAUAGUCAUGUCAGAGAGCCCGCCUCAGUGCCAGUGGUCAGAGAGUUCUUAGAUGUUUUUCCAAACGAGCUGCCAGGUUUACCACCUGCUAGGGAGAUAGAGUUUGAAAUUGAAUUGAUGCCUGGAACUAGACCGAUCUCUAUCCCUCCCUACAGGAUGGCACCAGUAGAAUUGAAGGAGCUUAAGGAGCAGUUGCAAGAGUUGGUAGAUAGAGGAUUCAUCCGACCGAGUACCUCACCUUGGGGUGCUCCAGUGCUAUUUGUGAAAAAGAAGGAUGGAUCCCUUAGACUUUGUAUCGACUACAGGCAGUUGAACAAGGUCACUACCAAGAAUAAGUACCCGUUGCCAAGGAUCGACGAUCUAUUCGACCAGCUAGCAGGAGCAGGUUGUUUCUCCAAAAUAGAUCUGAGAUCGGGGUACCAUCAGCUAAGGAUAAGGGAAGAGGAUGUGCUGAAGAUAGCCUUCAGGACCAGAUAUGGGCAUUAUGAGUUCCUUAUGAUGCCGUUCGGGUUAACCAAUGCCCCUGCAGCAUUCAUGGAUCUCAUGAACAAAGUGUUUAGCCAAUAUUUGGAUCACUUCGUUAUUGUCUUCAUAGAUGAUAUCUUAGUGUAUUCCAGGGAUGCAGAGGAGCAUGCCCAUCAUCUGAGGUUAGUUCUGCAGACCUUGAGGGAACAUGGCUUGUAUGCCAAGUUCUCCAAGUGUGAGUUCUGGCUGAGGAGAAUCUCUUUCUUGGGGCAUGUGGUGUCAGAAAAUGGAAUUGAGGUAGACCCCAAGAAAGUGGAAGCUAUAGCUAACUGGCCUAGACCCACUACAGUGACAGAGAUCAAGAGUUUUUUGGGUUUGGCAGGUUACUACAGGAGGUUCGUUCAGGACUUCUCUAAGAUUGCAGCUCCCAUGACCAGACUGACUAAGAAGAACCAGAGGUUUGUGUGGACCGACCAGUGUGAAGAGAGCUUUGAGGAGCUCAAGAAGAGGUUGACUUCAGCACCAGUGUUAGCUCUGCCAUCUAGUAAUGAAGACUUCUCAGUCUAUUGUGAUGCGUCCCGUGUGGGACUGGGUUGUGUGCUAAUGCAGAAUGAAAGGGUGAUUGCUUAUGCUUCUAGGCAGCUGAAGAAGCACGAGUUGAAUUACCCUACACAUGACCUAGAGAUGGCAGCGGUAAUCUUUGCACUCAAGAUGUGGAGGCAUUACCUUUAUGGGGUAAAAUGUGAGAUCUUCACCGAUCAUAAGAGCCUGCAGUACAUCUUGAGUCAGAGGGAUCUGAAUCUGAGGCAGAGGAGAUGGGUAGAACUGCUUAGUGACGAUGAUUGCAAGAUCCAAUACCAUCCGGGUAAGGCAAAUGUUAUGGCAGACGCCUUAAGCCGGAAAUCACUUGGCAGUUUGUCCCAUAUUACAGCGGAGAGGAGGCCAGUAGUGAGGGAGUUCUUCGAGGUCUUGAAUGAAGGUCUACAGUUGGAGUUGUCUGGUACAGGUGCUUUGGUAGCCCAGAUAAGAGUGGCACCCGUGUUUCUAAAGCAGGUGGCUUAAAAACAGCAUGAGGACCCAGAGUUAGUGAAGAUUGCCAGGACUGUUCAGUCAGGCAAGGAUAGUGAGUUCAGAUUCGACAGCAAGGGGAUCCUCCGCUAUGGGAGCAGAUUGUGUGUACCAGAUGACAUAGGGCUGAAGGGAGACAUUAUGAGGGAGGCUCAUAAUGCAAGAUACAGCAUUCACCCCGGAGCCACCAAGAUGUAUCAAGAUUUAAAGAAGGUUUAUUGGUGGCCAGCUAUGAAGAGAGAAGUGGCACAGUUCAUGUCAGCCUGCGAAGUGUGUCAGAGGGUGAAGCUGGAACAUCAGAAGCCGGCUGGAAUGCUUAACCCACUACCUAUUCCAGAGUGGAAAUGGGAGAACAUAGCGAUGGACUUCGUAGUGGGGUUACCGGCGGCGUCCAACAGAUUGGACUCCAUAUGGGUGAUUGUGGACAGACUCACCAAAUCUGCUCACUUCAUCCCUGUCAGGAGUGGCUAUUCUGUGAACAAGUUGGCGCAGGUGUAUGUUGAUGAGGUUGUUAGGCUGCAUGGGAUUCCUGUUUCAAUAGUGUCUGAUCGAGGGCUCCAGUUCACCUCCAGGUUUUGGCGGAGUCUGCAGAACGCUAUGGGUACCAGGUUAGAUUUUAGCACUGCUUUCCAUCCACAGACGGACGGACAAUCAGAGAGGACCAUCCAAACCAUAGAAGAUAUGCUCAGAAUGUGUGUGCUGGAUUUUGGCAGUUCUUGGAGGCAGCAUCUACCUUUAGUGGAGUUUGCCUACAAUAACAGCCAUCAUGCUAGCAUAGGGAUGGCUCCAUAUGAAGCUUUGUAUGGAAGGAAGUGCAGGUCGCUUGUCUGUUGGGAAGAAGUUGGAGAAAAGGCCUUGGCAGGGCCUGAGCUAGUAGAGAUCACCAGCAGGGUGGUACCCAUAAUCAGAGAAAGGAUCAAGACUACUGCAAGCAGGCAGAAGAGUUAUGCAUACAUCCGCAGAAGGCAAGUAGAGUUUCAGGAGGGGGAUUUGGUAUUGCUCAAGGUGUCUCCAAUGAAAGGGGUGAUUCGGUUUGGGAAGAAAGGUAAGCUAGCUCCACAGUACAUCGGACCCUUUGAGAUCUUGCAGAAGAUUGGGAAUGUAUCGUACAAGCUAGACUUGCUUGCUUCAAUGGAGAGAAUCCAUCUGGUUUUCCAUGUUUCUAUGUUGAGAAAGUUCGUGUCAAAUCCGGGCAAGGUUCUUAGUGAGCCUGAUGUGGAGAUCCAAGAGGAUCUCACCUAUGUUGAGCAGCCAGUACGGAUCCUAGACACCCAGAUCAGAAAGCUAAGGAACAAGAAAAUCCUGAUGGUGAAAGUCCUUUGGAAUCACCACAACAUCGAAGAGUGUACCUGGGAGACACGGGAGUCCAUGCUCCGGCUGUAACGACCCGAAAAUCGGACCGCUACCGGCGCUAGGAUCCGGGUCGACUUAAGGCCGCCGGGACCCGUAGCAAGCCUGACAUAGGACCUGUAAACCUGUAUAAUCCCAUUCAUGAUCAACAAUAAGCAUAAAAAUUAAAACUUUCCUUUGCAUACUCAUCAACCAAACUCAACCUGUGCAUAAACAUUAACAUAACCUUGAUCCCUCUGUGGGAUCUCAUCUGUGCCCUCAAAGGGAUAACAUAACCUGUGUUGAGCUGGUUUACAUAAACAUCCUCAAAAUCUCUAAGAUCAUGUAUAAAGAGGGAUACAACAUUCUAUGGUCAAGCACAUACUAACAUCCAUAAAACUCAUUACAUAACUAUACUGUACUUUUACAUUACAAUUUUGAUCAUGUCCAUUACUAGCUAUUACAUAACAUGACUUCUUUACUCUAUCCGGACUCCCGCUCUAUACUGUACCUGCAAGCCUGGGGGUAAAGGGAGAGGGGUGAGCUAAAAGCCCAGUGAGUAGAGCUAGUAAAACACAUUAACACUAUGCUCAAAUGGAAUGCAUCAUAACACAGACAAUUCACAUAAGGGUUGGGUGAACUUGUCACCAAAUAGUCCAAGUUAACUCUGUGCCAGGCCUGUAGAAUGGGGCCGGGUCUUCCUGUCAUAACAUACAUUACUUACCAUUUUCCAGGGCCUCCUCUGGGCUCCUGGUCUUCGAGUCCCAUAACCGUGCAUUACUCUGUGCCAGGCCUGUAGACUGGGGCCUGGUCUUUCUUACUCUGUGCCAGGCCGUAGCAUGGGGUCCUGGUCUUCCUGUCUUGGACUAAUUGGGUCAUCCAACAUUCACCCACAUCAACAACAAUUUAUGCAAUGCGGCAUAUUCGUGAAAACUAAUGCAAUCAUCCUAUUGCAUAAUCAUGAUGCAUGAAACAUGAUAAAACAUUUAAUUUAAAAGAUUCGGUUUAGUUCCACUCACCUCUGGCUGACUCUGACAACACCGCAGCUGAACUCACUGCUGGGGUCCUCGGUUCCUCGGGUCCGAACCUACACAGGUGGACUCAAAUGAGGGACCAAACAUACUUGAACACAACUCCAAACUACUCCCCAAAAACCCCCUAAAACGUCCCAGAAAAUAUGCAUGAAAUGGCUGAACAGGGCACUUUCGGCGGCACCUUCGGCGGCCGAAAGUCCUGGACAGAGACGAAACUCAGCUAGGUUCGGCGGCACCUUCGGCGGCCGAAAGUGCCAGAGACGAAAGUCUCUUUUCGGGGGCAACUUCGGCAGCCGAAAGGCCUGCCUUCCCAGCCAUGUUCGGCGGCCGAAAGUACCUUCGGCUGCCGAACCUGGUUUCUGCCAAAGGGCAGAAACUUGGCUCCCUUAACACAUCUCGCCUCCAAUCCUUUCCAAACAUGCAUAUUUUUCAACCAAAACAAGCAUACAAGUUCCUAGGGGUCUCAAACAUACAUAUACCCCAUCUACAACACUUCAAUCACACACAAACAAGCUACAUUGUUCAAAACAUCAACAUUAACCCAUAACUCAUCAUAUAACCUAACAUGCAUUCUACCCCUUAAAACUUCAUAAAACUUGUUUAAAUCAUACAUUGAGCUUAAGAUCGGCUCUUACCUCUUGAAGAUCGAGGGUUGAGGAGAUCUAAACUUGGAGAUGGGAGAAGUUCCAACUUUUGGUCUCCAAACUCCAAAACUCGUUCUAAGCUCAAAGAUCUUCAAAACCAGAGUUAUAAACUUGUAAAGAUCAUGGAAAAAGGAAGGAAAAACUCAAGAUUGAGGGAGGAUGGCGGAAAGCUCACCUUGGCCGAAAUGGGGAGAAAAAGCUCGCCCAUUUUCGGCUAAGGGACCCUUUUAUAGUGGCUGGCCAGACCACGUUCGGGGGCCGAAUGUGCCUCCGCAUCCAUGCAAAUGUUCGGCGGCCGAACUUGACUUUCGGCGGCCGAACCUUUGCUUCCCUAACUCAUGCUUUCGGGGGCCUAACGUGCCUCCAAAACGCAUGCAUGUUCGGCGGCCGAACUUGACUUUCGGCGGCCGAACCUGGGUUUUCCUCCAAAGACUUUUCAUGCAAAAACUCAUUUAAUUCACACUUAAAAUUAUUUAAAACAUAAAAACAUUUUAUAAAACAUGAUUCUACCCUUCUAGAGGUCUCCGACGUCCGAGAUUCCACCGGACGGUAGGAAUUCCGAUACCGGAGUCUAGCCGGGUAUUACAUUCUCCCCCCCUUAAGAACAUUCGUCCCCGAAUGUUCCUCAACUAACACAUGCAUAGCAAUCAACAUAACAUACAUACAACACAAAGAGACUAACCUUAAAAGAGAUGAGGAUAUUGCCGGAGCAUGGACUCCCGUGUCUCCCAAGUACACUCCUCAAUAUUGUGGUGGUUCCAAAGGACUUUCACCAUCGGGAUUUCCUUGUUCCUUAGCUUUCUGAUCUGGGUGUCUAGGAUCCGUACUGGCUGCUCAACAUAGGUGAGAUCCUCUUGGAUCUCCACAUCAGGCUCACUAAGAACCUUGCCCGAAUCUGACACGAACUCUCUCAACAUAGAAACAUGGAAAACCGGAUGGAUUCUCUCCAUCGAAGCAGGUAAAUCCAGCUUGUACGAUACAUUCCCGAUCCUUUGCAGGACUUCAAAGGGUCCGAUGUACCGCGGAGCCAGCUUACCCUUCUUCCCGAACCGAACCACUCCUUUCAUUGGAGACACCCUGAGCAAUACCAGANNNNNNNNNNNNNNNNNNNNNNNNNNNNNNNNNNNNNNNNNNNNNNNNNNNNNNNNNNNNNNNNNNNNNNNNNNNNNNNNNNNNNNNNNNNNNNNNNNNNNNNNNNNNNNNNNNNNNNNNNNNNNNNNNNNNNNNNNNNNNNNNNNNNNNNNNNNNNNNNNNNNNNNNNNNNNNNNNNNNNNNNNNNNNNNNNNNNNNNNNNNNNNNNNNNNNNNNNNNNNNNNNNNNNNNNNNNNNNNNNNNNNNNNNNNNNNNNNNNNNNNNNNNNNNNNNNNNNNNNNNNNNNNNNNNNNNNNNNNNNNNNNNNNNNNNNNNNNNNNNNNNNNNNNNNNNNNNNNNNNNNNNNNNNNNNNNNNNNNNNNNNNNNNNNNNNNNNNNNNNNNNNNNNNNNNNNNNNNNNNNNNNNNNNNNNNNNNNNNNNNNNNNNNNNNNNNNNNNNNNNNNNNNNNNNNNNNNNNNNNNNNNNNNNNNNNNNNNNNNNNNNNNNNNNNNNNNNNNNNNNNNNNNNNNNNNNNNNNNNNNNNNNNNNNNNNNNNNNNNNNNNNNNNNNNNNNNNNNNNNNNNNNNNNNNNNNNNNNNNNNNNNNNNNNNNNNNNNNNNNNNNNNNNNNNNNNNNNNNNNNNNNNNNNNNNNNNNNNNNNNNNNNNNNNNNNNNNNNNNNNNNNNNNNNNNNNNNNNNNNNNNNNNNNNNNNNNNNNNNNNNNNNNNNNNNNNNNNNNNNNNNNNNNNNNNNNNNNNNNNNNNNNNNNNNNNNNNNNNNNNNNNNNNNNNNNNNNNNNNNNNNNNNNNNNNNNNNNNNNNNNNNNNNNNNNNNNNNNNNNNNNNNNNNNNNNNNNNNNNNNNNNNNNNNNNNNNNNNNNNNNNNNNNNNNNNNNNNNNNNNNNNNNNNNNNNNNNNNNNNNNNNNNNNNNNNNNNNNNNNNNNNNNNNNNNNNNNNNNNNNNNNNNNNNNNNNNNNNNNNNNNNNNNNNNNNNNNNNNNNNNNNNNNNNNNNNNNNNNNNNNNNNNNNNNNNNNNNNNNNNNNNNNNNNNNNNNNNNNNNNNNNNNNNNNNNNNNNNNNNNNNNNNNNNNNNNNNNNNNNNNNNNNNNNNNNNNNNNNNNNNNNNNNNNNNNNNNNNNNNNNNNNNNNNNNNNNNNNNNNNNNNNNAUUGUGGACUCGAAGACCAGGAGCCUAGAGGAGGCCCUGGGAAAAUGGUAAGUAAUGUAUGUAUGACAGGAAGACCAGGACCCCAUGCUACGGCCUGGCACUAUGUUAGCUUGGACUAAUUGGUGACAAGUUCACCCAACCCUUAUGUGAAUUGUCUGUGUUAUGAUGCAUUUCAUUUGAGCAUCGUGUUAAUGUGUUUUUACUAGCUCUACUCACUGGGCUUUUAGCUCACCCCUCUCCCUUUUCCCCCAGGCUUACAGGUACAGGAUAUAGUGCGGGAGUUCGGAUAGAGUGAAGAAGUCAUGCUUAUGUAAUAGAUAGAAAUGGACAUGAUCAAAUUGUAAUGAGUUGUAUGGAUGUUAGUAUGUGCUUGACCAUAGAAUGUUGUAUCCCUUUUUUUUUAUACAUGAUCUUAGAGAUUUUGAUGAUGUUUAUGUAAACCAGCUCAACACAGGUUAUGUUACCCUUUGAGGGCACAGAUGAGAUCCCACAGAGGGAUCAAAGUUAUGUUAAUGUUAUGCUCAGGUUGAGUUUGGUUGAUGUUCAAAGGAAAGAAAAGUUUUAAUUUUUAUGCAUGUUGUUGAUCAUGUAUGGGAUUAUACAGGUUUACAGGUUUUAUGUUAGGCUUGCUACGGGUCCCGGCGGCCUUAAGUCGACCCGGAUCCUAGCGCCGGUAGCGGUCCGAUUUUCGGGUCGUUACAUUUAUGUGCUUAGUAUGUAUGUUAUGUGUAUGCCAUGCUUGUGUUGUUUGGUGAACAUUCGGGGACGAAUGUUCUUAAGGGGGGAAGAAUGUAAUACCCGGCCAGACUACGGUAUCAGAAUCCCUACCGUACGGUGGGAUCUCGGAUGUCGAAAGCCUCUAGAAGGGUAAAACCAUAUUUUUAUAAAAUGUUUUAAUGUAUUUUAUGAUUUUAAGUAAAAAGGAAGUUGAAUUUUAAAUGAAAAUAGCCUUGGAGAAAGAUGCAGGUUCGGCCGCCGAACCUCAAGUUCGGCCGCCGAACAUGCAUGUGUUUCGGGUGUGCCUUAGGCCCCCGAAGGCAUAAGUGAGGGAAAUCAGGUUCGGCUGCCGAACAUGGCAUGCAUGCGGAGGCACGUUCGGUUCCCGAAUGUGGCCUGGCCAGCCAUCUAUAAAGGGGUCCCUUAGCCGAAAUGGGCGAACUUUUCUCCCCAUUUUCGGCCAAGGUGAGCUCUUCGCCGUCCCUCACCAAUUUUUGAGUUCUUCCUUCAGAUAUUUCAAGAUUUUCCUGAGUUUUCACUUUGUUUUGAAGAUUUUGAGCAUUUGAGCAAGUUUUGAAGCUUGGAAGACACAGGAGCUCUUUUCCUUUGGUUUUCAAGUUUAGGUAGUCUUUCUCUCGAUCUUCAAGAGGUAAGAGCCGAUCUUGAGCUCAUUGCAUGUUUUAAACAAGUUUUAAGUUGAUCUAUGGGGUAGAAAUGAAUGUUUAGGUUUUGGUUGGUUUUAUAGGUUAUGAUAAGUUUUUGAGCAAUGUAUGAUGUUUGUGGUUGCUUGAUGUGUUGUAGUUGGGGUUUAAGAUAGUUUGAAGCCCCUAGGAGCUUGUAUGCUUGAGUAUGCAUGUUGUAGAUCAGGUUUAUGCAUGUUUGAAUGGAAUGGGAGGCUAUUGUGCAUGAAGAGCCGAGUUUCUGCCCUUUUGGCAGAAACCAGGUUCGGCAGCCGAAGGACUUUUGGCCGCCGAACCUGCCUGGGAGGCAAGCCUUUCGGCUGCCGAACCCUGCCCCCGAAAGAGGACUUUCGUCUCUGGAGGGCAGUUUCGGUCGCCGAAAGUGCCGUCGAACAUGCAUGAGUUUCGUCUCUAUCUGGGAGUUUCGGCCGCCGAAGGUGCCGCCGAACCUGCCUGACUUUCGGCUCUGGAGGGACUUUCGGCCGCCGAACCUGCCGCCGAAAGUGCCCUGUUUAGCCUUCCUUUGCAUGUUUCCAUGGAUGUUUUGAGGUGUUUUUAGGGGGUUUUUGGGGAGUAUUUUAAAGUCAUGUUCAUGUAUGUUUGGUCCCUCAUUUGAGUCCACCUGUGUAAGUUCGGAGCCGAGGAACCGAGGACCCCAGCAGUGAGUUCAGCUGCUUCUGUGUCUGUCAGAGCUAGCUAGAGGUGAGUGGAAUAACUCUUUAUGUUUUAAAGUAAAUAAAUCAGUUUUAGCAUGAUUCACGCAUCAUGAAUGCUAUGAGAUAUAAUAGGGUGUUUGCAUUAGAACUCACGAAUAUGUUGCAUUGCAUAAUAUGUUGAUGAUGCGGAUGAAUGUUGAAUGAUCCUUUAGUCCUCGUAUGUUACGAUAUGAUGAUGAUAUGGUACGGAAGACCAGUGAGGCCCAUUCUACGCCCCUGGCACCAUGUAAGAGAAAGACCAGUGAGGCCCAUUCUACGCCCCUGGCACAGUAGGAAUGUUAUGUUAUGUUAUGUUAUGUAAGAGAAAGACCAGUAAGGCCCAUUCUACGCCCCUGGCACAGUUGGACUAUGUACAGGACUAUUGGUGACAAAUUCAUCCUUGAUGUGAUAUGAUUGUGAUGUGAUGCAUUCCAUGUUAUCAUAUGUUUAAAAUGUUUUAUUAUUCUGCUCACUGGGCUUUAUAGCUCACCCCUCUCCCUUAACUCCCAGGUUUGCAGGUACAGGGUAUACCAGGAGGUCAGCAAGAGUAAUGAAGUCUUGGUUAUGUAAUAGAUAGUGUGGACAUGAAUAAUGUUGAGAUGUUAUGUUUAGUACAGUCAUGUAUAAGUACAGUAUAGAAAUGUAAUGUACUGAUGUUCAUGGAUGUUAGAGGUGUGCUUGACCAUAGAAUGUUGUUAUCCCUUUUAAUACAUGAUCUUAGAUGUUUUAUGAUGCUUAUGUAAACCAACUCAACACUUGUUAUGUCACCCAUUGGGGCAUUGAUGAGAUCCCCAAGAGGGGUCAAUGUUUAUGGUUAUGAUUAUGUAUAGUGCAUGCACAGGUUGAGUUUGGUGUAUGAGAGAAUGAAUGAAUGAAAAGAAAAGUUUUAAAUUUUUUAUGUAUGUUGUUGAUCAUGUAUGGGAUUAAACAGGUUCACAGGUGACAUGUUUGGCUUGCUACGGGUCCCCGUGGCCUUAAGCAGAUCUAGAUCCUAGCGUCGGUAGCGGUCUGAUUUCCGGGUCGUUACAACAAAAGUCUUUUCGGAUAGAAAAAGAAAAAUAUUGCUAAGGUCAAAUGUUUUAACUGUAUAGAAUAGGAUCGAAAUAUUUUCGUGAAAUUCUGAUGACUUCUUCUAUGAGCAAGAAGGAUAUUUAUUAGGCAAUAACUUCAAAGUAGAGGUGAAAGGUUUAAUCACCUGCGAACUUGCUAUAUGUAGUAAGCAAAUUAUGUUCCUAUAUAAUAUUUAAUUUGUUCCAUAAAUUCAAUGGAAUUUAUUAUUUGUGUUGGUGUUUAAAAAACUUAUUUUUUUUUUUAUUUUUCAUGAAUUAGGUAUAAACUUGUUUUAAGUAUAAGUUCUAGUAGUUCUAGAUAUUUCCUGAAUAUUCAUAUUGGCUUAGAAAUUAUAAGUAACUUCAAUAGUAUUUUUUUUCCUAUUUUUUUAUCUUUUGAUAUAUCUAUGAAUGAUGCAAAUAUGCGGUAUCCUAUGCUUGACCACAUAAUUAAUAGAUAGGCAAUGAUUAGUAAAGUGGGCCUGUUAGGUAAUAUUAAUAAAGUAGAUAUGUUCAUUUAUAAAUAUUACCUAAUUUGAAAUUAUCUAGGAGUAAGAGCUGAAUUUCUAUUGUAUUUAAUAUUUUCUAGUAAAUGUGAUUAUAUGUAUAUGAGGUUAGACAUAGUGGGCAUCUAUUUCGUAAUUAAUGACUACUCUCUAUAAGGUUAUGACUAUUUUAUAUCUUAUUAAAUUGAAACUUUAAGUUGUUUUAUUAAAUUUUUUAAUUUAGUUGAGAAUCAAUUAGAUAGAAAAGUAAAGACUUUAAGAACCAAUCAAAAUGUAACAAAAAUGAGAAAUAGAAUUCUAUUAGGUUAGGUCAAUAAUGAGAUGAGAAAUUUUGUCAAUAAUUUAUUGGGGUGAUAUAUUAUUAGUAAUCACUAUUGAACUUAACCUAAUACAACUUCCACUCUAUAUGAGUUAUGGACUAAAUACAAAUUUUUUUGUGGACUUUAAAACUAUAGGAUUAUAAAAUUAUUCAUGAAUCUUCAUAUAAAUUUGGAUGACCAAGCGCAAAAAUACGUACUUUCCAAGAUAUCUUUGAGCAAUUAAAGGAUAUAUAUUCUUCAAUGAGCAAGAGAAUGAAAGUUUAACUAAGUUUAAAUCAUAGGGGCUCGCAUUCUUUAAAUUUUUUUCUUUUAAACGUAUAGAGAUAGGAUAAGUCUUACCUCUAAAUUAAACUCAUGACCAAACUAUUUCCGCUACAGAAUUUUUUGAUAGACACAUGUCCAAGUGGGAGUAAUAUGGAUACAGAUCAAUAUGGUUAUUAGUUUCAUAAUUGCAUCUUGAAGUAAGUGUAGUCAUAGAAUCUGGUCCGAGUGGAAGUAACAUGCAUAUUGAUGAGUCAAUAGAUCAAUCUCAACUAUAAAGAAUGUGUCAUUUAAGGAUUUUCAAUUGUCGUUUUGAGAUUGAAGGGGAAGUAUUUAUUGUUAUUCCUGAUGGAGAUGAGCUGAGAAAUGUGUUUCUUAACCUUUUAGAUCUUCAACUGAGAAAAAAAUAGAUGAAAACAAUGGAAUGAAAAAUGGAGUCAAUGUAGAGUUGCCAUUAGGACCUAAAGCGAUUGAGAAUUAGUAGAUUCUCAAAGUAGAGCAUAAGGUUGACAGUAGUAUCAAGAGAUACAAAAAUUUGUUUGGUAGCUAAGGGGAUACACACAAUAGAAAGAAAAGAAUUAUUAGUAUUUUUUUUUAAUCUGUUGUGAGGCUUACCUUGAUAAGGUUAUUUUUAAAAAAUUGUAUUAGUUGUUAACUUGGAUUUUAUAUUAUAUCAAAUGGAUGUGAAGACUAUUUUUUCUUAAAUAGAGAAUUAAAUUUACAUGAAAGAGUCUAUAAAUUUCAGUGUAAAUGGUCAAGGACACAAAAUAUGUAGAUUCCUAGUCAGUCUAAGACCUUAAAUAGUCUUCGAAACUAUGAUAUAUUAGAUUUCAUAAUACCGUUGGGUUUUAUGAUUUCACUGUGAUUAAUGAUGAUCAUUGAAAUAUACGUAAAAGAUUCAAGAAUAAAUUAGUAAUCUUAUCAUUGUAUGUAGAUGAUAUACUUAUAGCUAGAAAUGGUAGUGAGUAUAUCACAACCGUUAAGGUUUAGUUACCAUCUUUUGAGAUGAAAGGGAUAAAGAAGUUGCAUAUAAUCUUAGAAUCGAGAUUCUAAGGGAUUAUUAAGAAAACUAUUGUCUCUUUCCAAAAGUAAUAUAUCGUCAAAGUAUUACAAUGAUUAAAUAUGUAAAAUUUCAAACCUAUAGAUACUCAUUUUUUUCAAAAGAAAAGUUUUAAGUUAUAGAUUAUAUCGUAAGACUCCAAAAGAGAGAAGUCAAAUAAAAAUAUUCUAUAUAAGAGUGAAGUCAGGAGUCUAAUGUAUGCUAUAAAGUGUAAUAGACUUGAUAUAUUCUAUGCUAUAAGUAUAGUAAAUCAAUGUGACCCUAAGCGUGUAUAUUGGAUAUCGUGAAUUGGAUAUAGAGAUAUCUUAGAUGUAUGUUAGAUUAUUCAUAAUGUUAUCAAGGAAAUAGUCUGCAAGUGGGAGAUUACAAAGAUGCAUAAAAGAGAGGAGAUUUAGAUGAGGCUACAUCUACCUCAAGAUAUAUCUUCUUAAGAAGUAAGAGGUUAUAGUUUAUUAUACUAGAGAUAUAAAUACACAUAACUUGAAAGUUUUUUCUACGCUUAAUAUGACUUUUGAGUCUGUUGAACCUAAAUAUUCUAAUCCUUGUUUUGAUGAUUAAUAAACAAUGAGUGUUCUACUAAUUAUCUUCAAAAGUGUUUGUGUUGAGCUUGUAGGUCCCUUAUUAAAAUGAAUGAAAUUGCUUUAGUCUCAAAAGUGAAAACGCCAAUUUUGGAAGCAUACCACAAGAAAGGGAUCAGAAAGUAUUUUUUGUUUAUGCAUUGUCAAUUUAUGCAUUGUGAAUUUCAAUUAAUUAAUUGUGAUGGUUCAAGAUUUCUUUCACUUCUAAAAGUUUUACAAAUACGGCUGAGUUUUGAUUAAUUGACUUUGAGGGACCAAAAUAAAAUUUUUCAAAAGGAGUGAUUUUGAGAUUAUUCUUUAUCAAAAUUAAAGAUCUAAAAAUAUAGGUUAUAAAAAUUCAAACGGAUUGAAAAAUAGAUUUUCAUAGUCUAAGUUAUGAUUUUUCAAAGAAUUUAAUAAAACAUUUUUGUGCCCCUAAAGCCAAUUUCGGCUUCCGAAAGUCAGGGAUAGAAACGAAAGUCCCAUAUGUUCGGCCGUCGAACAUUGACUUUCCGCCGCCAAAAGUGGGUUUUCAAUAUGCCCCCUAAGUCAAAACUUCGACUUCCGAAAUUGAGGGACAGAGACGAAAGUCUCACACAUUCGGCCGCUUAACAUUAACCUUCAGCCGCCGAAAAUGAAUCUUCAAUAUGCCUCCGAAGUCAAAACUUCGGCUUCCAAAAGUGAGGGACAGAGAUGAAAGUCCCAUAUGUUCGGCCGCCGAACAUUGACUUUCGGCCGCCGAAAGUCUUUUUAUAAGGAGGAUGUUCUUCACCUCAAAUGGUUCGGCUACCGAACUUUAAGUUUAGGCUGCUGAACCUGAGUUUUUCUGAACACGAUAUAACGGUUAUUUUUGUACACAAACGGUUCUAUUUGUAUUUAAUGCAUCUCCAACGGCCAUAUUUAUGACUGAACUAUAAAUAUAUUGUGUUUUUUAUCUGAAAAGAUUACAACAACCAUCUAAGCAAAUACUUAUUUAGAUUAAAGCAUUUUUCACUCUCUCUCUCUCAAAACCUUGAGCCAAAGCAUUAAUUUCUUGAAAGCCUGUCUUGAGUUGUAAUUGGUUCAUUUUUUAAGAGUGAGUGAAGGUUGUUGAUUGAUUCUAUUGUAGUGGGUGUGUUAUUGAGCAAAUGAUUGCUCUUGAAUGAAAAAGAGAAUUAUUAAGAGCAAAGGUUUGCUAUAAGAUUGUAAGGGGUUUUAAUAUUCACCCAAAGAAGAUUUGAUAGUGGAGUUGAACUCUCAAGGAGAGCCUUGAGGAGAGGACGUAGGCUUGAGAUAGCUGAACCUCUAUAAAUCUUUGUGUAGAUUAUCUUCUUCCUUAUUACCUUCUAAUUUGUGUUUUUGCCUUUAAAUUUUUUAUAAACCCAAUUCACCCCCCUAUUGGGUUGCUUCAAGGGACAACAAGUGGUAUCAGAUGUAAUGACCCGAAAACCGGACCGCUACCGGCGCUAGGAUUCAGGUUGAUUUAAGGUCGUCGGAACCCGUAGCAAGCCUGCUGUGCACUCUGUGUACCUGUUAAAUCCCAUACAUGAUCAUACAUUUCCAUAAAAAUUUUGAACUUUUGCAUUUACCAAGCUUGACUUGUGCAUGCACUAACUCUGGGAACAUAAAACCACAUACUAGAGCUCUCAUCAUAUGCUCUAGAUGGGUCAUCAUCAAAUAUCAAGCUUGGUUCUCAUCAUAAAAUACAAUAAAACAUAAUGAAAUGAUCAUGCAUACAAGGGAUAACAUACUCUAGGGUCAAGCACAAUACUAUCUCCAUAUACAUUACAUCAUCUCUAUACAUUACAUUAUCUCUGUGUAUAAUACAUCAUGUCCACUACUCUAUACUAUUACAUAAACCUUUACCCUUGUUGUUACUCUGUCUUCUCUCAAGCCCUGAAAACAUGGGGGUAGGGAGAGGGGUGAGCUACUAGAGCCCAGUGAGCAGAACAAUAAAAACAUUUAAUAAAACAUGCUAUCAUGAAAUGCAUCAUAGCACAAGUAAAGCACAUCAUGGAUGGACUGACCCAAAAAUCCCUCUGCUCUGUGUCCGGCCCUCAAAGGAGCUCCUCAGGACUUCUAUUACAUACAAUGAACAUUGUGCCCGGCUCUCAGGGAGCUCCGCAGGACUUCUACUACAUGGAAAUAAUAAUCAGAGGGCUAAAGGGUCUCCAUGUUGUCCAUCCCCAUCAACAAUAAAUAAUGCAAUGCGUCAUCUUCGUGAUCACUAAUGCAUUACACCCUAAUAUAACAUGGCAUUUAUGAUGCAUGAAUCAUGCUCAAAACUUUGCAUUUAUGUAAGGAUACAGUUCAGUUCAGUUCCACUCACCUCUAGCAACUGCUGGGACUCUGUAUCACUAACUUUGUGGGCCUCUUGGGUUCCUCGGGUCCGUACCUACAUAGGUGGACUCAAAUGAGGGACCGAACAUACUCUAAUAUAGCUAUAAACAUCUCCCCAAAAACCCCCUAAAACAUCAUAAACAUGCAUGGAAAAAUGGGCAAAGGAAGGCUGGACAGGGGACUUUCGGCGGCACCUUCGGCGGCCAAACCCCUCUCCAGAUCCGAAAGUCUAAACUUUCGGGGGCAAGGUUCGGGAGCUGAAGGACUUUCCAGAGCCGAAAGUCACCCACCUUCGGCGGCAUGUCCGGCGGCCAAAACUCCCCUCCAGAGCCGAAAGUCCAAACUUUCGGGGGCGAGUUUAGGCGGCCAAAACAGCCUCCUCAAGGGGUUCGGUGGCGGCCAAAACAGCCUCCUCAAGGGGUUCGGCGGCCAAACCUGAGUUUGCCAAGAAGGCAGAACUCGGGUCAAACAUGCAUACUCAGCCUCCAAAACCAAACCAAACACUCUCAACAUGCAACCAACCUCUCAUAAUCAUGCAUAUACCCUUAUCCAUGCACAUAGGAGCUUAAAAACUAGUUUAAACUCCACAAACAACAUCAAAGCAUUAGAUAUGGCAUAUGAGCAAUAUACCCUAUAAACCUCUAGAUCCACUUAAACCAUACCAUAAAACUCCCUUAAACCCUUUAAAACAUGCUUAAAACAUAAGGGGAGGUGAGGAUCUAUACUUACCUCUUGAAGAUCGAGAGGAUCGAUGGUCCUAACUCGGAGAUGUGGAGGAAAACGAUCCAAAAUCUCCAAACUCUCAACUUUGCCUUCUUUUGCUCAAAACUUCAAAAACACAAGUUAAAAACUCAUUAAAGCUUGCAUGAUUUGAAGAACAUGGUGAAAACAGCCAAAGGAGAUCACAAACUCACCUUUGCACGAAAAGAGGGUGAAAACACACCCCAUUUCUGGUCAAAGGAGCUUUUAUAGGUGGCCAGCCGACUCCCCUUCAGCGGCCAAAGCUGCAUGCGAAACCAUGCAACGUUCGGCGGCCGAACUUCUCUUUCAGCGGCCGAACCUGCAAUUUUCCUCCUUGGUCUUUUUCUUUUCAAAACUCAAGUUUCUUUUGAAAAACCUCUGUUUUACCCCUUUGGAAGACUCCGACAUCCGGGAAGUCCACAUUCCAACGGAGAUUCCGCCGGAAAGUAGGAAUUCUGGUGCCGGUGUCUAGCCGGGUAUUACAUCAGAGCUAAGCCCUAUCUUGAAGAUUUAAUAAUCUUCGAGAAAAGAUCGGAUGGCAACCCUCAAUUCUCAAGAAGGUCAAUCGGUUGUGAGACCACCUUUCUUUGAUAGAAAUGACUUUCUAUAUAGAAAAAAUAGAAUUUAUUAUUUUCUCAAAUUGAAAGGAGUUGAUUUGUGGGAUAUUGUAGAGAAUGGUCCUUUCUUUCCCACAAGAGUGAUAGUUGGAAACCAAGAGCAAAAAUCUAAGAGUGAAUGGAGUGAACUAGAGAAGAGAAGGGUAGCCCUAAAUGACAAAGCAAUUCACAUCUUGUUUUGUGCUCUUAGUAGAAGUGAGUACAACAAAGUAUGCAUGAAGUCUACUGCAAAGAAAAUUUGGGAUGCUUUGGUUGUCACUCAUGAAGGAACCAAUCAAGUCAAAGAAAACAAGAUGGAAUCCCUCAUCUACCAAUAUGAGUUGUUCAAAAUGAAAUCCGAUGGAACUAUUAGCCAAAUGUAUGAUAGGUUCAUUGAGAUUAUUGGAGGGAUGAAAUCUCUUGGGAAGACAUUUACAAAUGAAGAAUUGGUGAAGAAAAUCCUUAGAUGUCUACCUAAAGAAUGGCUACCAAAAGUAACCUCUUUAAAGGAUGCCAAAGAUUUGAGCAAAGUGCAAUUGGAUGAACUUUUGGGAAACCUCAUUGAUUAUGAGAUGACUCUAAAGAGAGAGCAAGUGGAGGAACCUAGCAAAGUGAAAAACAAUAUUGCUCUAAGGGUAGCCUCCGAAGAUACUAGUGAGGAAGAAGAAGAAAUAAGUGAGGAAGAAUUAGCCUUGGUGACUAGGAGAAUAAGGAAGUUGCUUCUUCAAAAUAAAAAGUUCAUCCCAAGGAUGUAACGACCUGGAAAUCGGACCGCCACCGGCGCUAGGAUCCAGAUCGGCUUAAGGCCGUCGGGACCCGUAGCAAGCCUAACAUACAACCUGUACACCUGUUUAAUCCCACACAUGAUCAACAUAUACACGAAAAUUUGAACUUUUCUCAUUCAUUUACUAAACUUAACCUGUGCAUGCACAACUCAUAAGCAUAAACAUCAAACCCCACACUGGAGUCCUCAUCAAAUACUCCAAUGGGGUAACAUAUCAUAUGAUAAGUUUGGUUUACAUAAACAGUGAUAAAACAUUUUAUAGACCAUGUACAAAGGGAUUAACCAACAUACUAGGGUCAAGCACAACUCUAAACCUCAAUAAACAUCAUUACAUUACAUUACUGUGCUAUACUUUACUUUACAUCAUUUUCAUGUCCACAUCUAGCUAUUACAUAAAACAAGACUUCUUAUUCUUGCUGACCUCCUGAUUCUAUCCCGUACCUGCAACCUGGCGGAUUAAGAGAAUGGGGUGAGCUACUAGAGCCCAGUGAGCAGAAUAAUAAAAUAUUUUAUUUAAAGUUCAUGCUUUCAUGAAAUGCAUCACAUCACAAACAAAUCACAUUAAGGAUGAACUUGUCACCAAUAGCCCUUAACAUAUCCAAUAGUGCCAAGGACGUAGAAUGGGUCUUCCUGGACUUCCUCUUACAUAACAUAUCAUAACAUUCCAAUAUGCCAGGGACAUAGAAUGGGUCUUCCUGGACUUUCUCUUACAUAGUGCCAGGGACGUAGAAUGGGUCUUCCUGGACUUUCUCUUACAUAGUGCCAGGGACGUAGAAUGGGUCUUCCUGGACUUUCGUACCAUAUCAUCAUCAUGCCAUAUCAUACCAUACAAGGGCUAAUGGAUCAUCCAAUAUUCAUCCACAUCAACAACAUAAUAUGCAAUGCAACAUAUUCGUGGAUUCUAAUGCAAACAACCUAAUAUAUCUCAUGGCAUUCAUGAUGCGUGAAUCAUACUAAAACUUUCAUUAUUUGCUUUGAAACGUAAAGAGUCAUUCUACUCACCUCAGGCUAGCUCUGACAAGACACUGAAGUAGCUGUCUCACUGCUGGGGUCCUCGGUUCCUCGGGUCCGAACCUACACAGGUGGACUUAAAUGAGGGACCAAACAUACAUGAACAUGACUCUAAAAUACUCCCCAAAAACCCCCUAAAACACCUUAAAACAAUCAUAGAAAUCAUGCAAAGGAAGGCUGAACAGGGCACUUUUGGCGGCAGGUUUGGCGGCCGAAAGUCCCUCCAGAGCCGAAAGUCAUGCACCUUCGGCGGCCGAAGGUUCCUUCCAGAGACGAAACUCAUGCAUGUUCGGCGGCACUUUCGGCGACCGAAACUCCCUUCCAGAGUCGAAAGUCCACUUUUGGGGACAGGGUUCGGCAGCCAAAGGCUUGCCUCCACAGGCAAGUUCGGCGGCUGAAAGUCCCUUCGGCUGCCGAACCUGAGUUCUUCCAAAGGGCAGAACUCAGCCUCCACAAUGCACAUUUGCCUCCCAAACCAUUCAACUUAAAACCAACACUACCACAAUAUGCAUACACACAUACAUAAGCUCAUAGGGGCCUCAAACUAUCCUAAACCCCAACCAACACAUCAAACAUACAUAUACAACACACAUUGUCCAUAUACUCAACAUUAACCAAAAACUCAAUAUUAACCUAAACAUGCAUUUCUACCCCAUAAACUUUCAUAAAACUUGUUUAAAAUAUGAAAUGAGCUAAGGAUCUACUCUUACCUCUUGGAGAUCGAGAGGAGAGGCGAUCCAACUCGUAGAUGGGAAAGAUCGAGCUCCUGGGGUCUCCAAGUUACUAACUUCACUCUUUUUGCUCAAAUAUCUUCAAACCAAGAUAAAACUUGUUAAAACUCGAAAGAUUGGAGGAAAAUCAUCAAAAUCAACCAUGGGAGAGCAUGGACUCACCGUUGGCCGAAAAUAGGGGAGAAAGCUCGCCCGUUUUGGCCAUGAAGCCCUUAUAUAGGGGCUGGCCAGACCACCUUCGAAAGCCUAAAGUGCCUCCAAAACUCAUGCAAGUUCGGCGGCCGAACAUGAGGUUCGGCGGCCGAACCUGAGCCACUUUCGGAAGCCUAACUUGCCCCCCUAAACUAUCCCAUGUUCGGCGGCCGAACCUGGAAAUGUCUCCAUGGUCUUUUUCAUUCAAAACUCAGUUUCUUUCUUACUAAAAAUCAUAAAAUACAUUAAAACAUUUUAUAAAAACAUGAUUUUACCCUUCUAAAGGUUUCCGACAUCCGAGAUUCCACCGGACGGUAGGAAUUCCGAUACCGGAGUCUAGCCGGGUAUUACAGAAGAAAUUUAGAAAGGAAAAAAGGUGAAUCAAGUAAAAAGAAAGUAUUCAUUUGUUAUGAGUGCAAUAAGUCGGGUCACUACAAAGUGGAUUGUCCCAAGUUGAAGAAGCCUAACAAAAAGUUCAAGAAGAAGGCCUUCAAAGCAACAUGGGAUGAGUCAAGUGAUACCGAAGAGGAGGAAGUUGGUGAUGAAAUUGCCAACAUGUGCUUCAUGGCUCUAGAGAAAAGUUUCGAUGAGGUAACUACUCUUGAUGACACUACCUUAUAUGAUGAUGUUGUUGAAUUUUCUUAUGAUGAACUUGUUUGUGCUUUAAAAUUGAUGAAUGAUGAACUUGAAAAGAGUCAUAAGAAAAACAAAAUUUUGAAAUGUGAGUUAGCUAGCUUAAAAAGGGAAAGUGAGAACUCACCCAAGGAAUCUUUAUCUUCAAAUGAUCCUUUACGAAAAUCCUUAGAUGAGCCCUCAUUAGAAAAUAAAAAUCUAAAUGAAAUCCUUGAGUUGAAAAUUUCUCUUUCAAAAUUUUUAAAAGGCAAGGACAAA